GUAAACUAACUUCCAGUAACAAUUCCUAGCAACCCAACCAGCAUCCCCACAAAAUCACUACUACGCUAGGUGAAAAAGCCCGUGGCACUGGAACCUACAGCCUCCCUAAUAGUAAGGAAACGCAAGGUGGCCUGAUCCACAACUCCAACAGCUAAACCAAAUCUGAAUAAUUAACUGUUAUUAACCUUCAAACAAUCUCAAUUACACAGGUUUGAUAUUGAACGGUUACCUAUAAGACCAAAAGUGUAUGGAACAUCUGGGCCAACUUUAGGAGGAGUUACAAACCAAAACUUGCGUGGAGUGUGUCCAAUCCCGACCACAUAGUAAUACUUGGUGUUGAACUGCAAAUAAAUUAGAAAAGCUUCAAGCUCUGUAUCCAGAAGAAAUCCCAAAACAAAGAAAUGAUGAAUGAAUUGGGUGACAUCCCACCUCCAAAUUCUUGAUAGUGCAAUGAUGAAUGUAACCAGAAGUGUAAUUGUAGAAUUUAUAGGUAACCAUGAUUCCCUCAGCUCUGUUCUUGCGCUUGGAGUUUUCACUCCAGUAGAGCACUGUGUUUGAGCCUGGUUCAUCCACAGUGACCCAUGAGACAAUCACUCCUCUCCCCUCAUGAUCUCCUUGUGUUAUAUGAACCUUAACACGGACCACCCACAAGUCAAACAAGAACAACAAUAAAAAUUGAGAUCAAACCCACUAAAUCUGCUCCAAAAUAAAACCAAAAUUAUGAAGUAAUUUAAAAUAAAUAAAAUAUAAAACCCCUUUUUUUUAAAUGGGUUUUGAAAUUCUUAAACCCCACCUAAACGAAAAAGUAUAUGAAUCUAAAUCAAUUAACAAAUCCCAGUGAAAAGCAAAGCAAAUGGAGGAAGAAAAAGCCACACACCUGCUGAGGGGCAUUAUAACCAAGAGGCACACGAAAGACAUCACUGUCAAGAGGCAUAUCAAUGGUUUUUUCAACCUUCCUCACAAAACUACUCGUGAUUCCUCCAUGACACACCACUGCUGCAUUCAACACCGAACCCAAAACAAUAACCACAGUAGCAACUGCAGAAGAAAAAGAUAGCCCCAUCACCCCCAUCUUAUCCCACACCUCCACAAACCACUCAACCUACGCUCUCAACCCGAUCUUCUUCAUCCACCUCUCUCACCGAUCCCCAUUUAUAGCAUUUUCUGAGAAAAACCCGGGGAAUAUUCAGAAAUGUAAUGCGGAUAUGCAUCGUGAAGUCAACGGACUGAGGAAGCCUAGGGAAGCCACGUUCAACGAUGAGGGAAACCCAGAAAUUCCCUUUUGGAAAAUAAUAAUAAAAAAAUUCGGAGUUGACUCGGAGGUUGACAUUUAGUUUAAUUUUUGGUUUGAGCUGAAAAGCUGGAAUUUUUAACAGGGAUAAUUGGAAGACGAGUGGGAAUACCCAGUUCUACUUUUGGUUAAAAUACGAUGAAACUACACUUUCCACUGAGAUUCAUGAUCUCAGAGAUUUGAUUACGGUACCGUUAGAAUCAAUAUCCUGUGAUCUUUCCCUUCGUUAUACUAGUGAUGAACUAGACACUGAUCAAUAGAGAUUGUUACAACUAUUUUUCCGGGAAAAAUAUCGAUAAGUAUCGCCCAGCCAACCCUAAUGAAAAUUCCUUUGAUAAAAUAAAAACCUUGUUUGGAAGAGCUUUUCAAUCCAUAAAAGUUGUAAUUUAUAAAUUAGAAGUGUCUUUAUAAGAGUAGUUACAUAAAAUUUCGGAAAAAUUAUGUUUUGGAUUUAAUUGAACCCAAAAAUUAAAAUUUGGUCUACAUAAAUUCACUAUUUAAGUCUAAAAUGUAAAGGAAAUAUAAAAAUUGAGAAAAAUGAUAUGAAAUUUUUAUCUUUCCAAACCUUUAUUAACUAUAUAUAUAAAAAAAAAAUAGAAAAACAUUAAUUUAAAUUUUAUUUCUUUUGCAAACCUCAAUAAAAUUUAAUAUAAUUUAGUGAUUUAAAAAAAAUACACCAUUUUCCAAAAAAAUAAAAAUAAAUUAUUAUUAUUUAAAAAUCAAACAUCUUGGAAAAUAUAUAUUUUUAAAAUUGUGUAUAUAAAAAAUAACUAAAAAUAUGUCAAAAUUAUUUUUUUUAAAUGAUGUAUUUUUAAAGUAUAUUUUUUAAAAAAUUAGUUUUCUAAAAAUAAUAAAUUUUUAGAAUAAUUAUUUAAAAAAAUUUAAGAUAAAAAUGUUUCUCAAACAUUAUGGUAGAAAAUAUUUUUGAAUGGUAUAUUGGUCUCUUCAUAUUUUAUAUCCUCUUUAUGAAUUAUGUAAUUUUUAUUGAUCAAAUCUUAAUUUUUGAGCUCAAUUGAGUUCAAAAGACAAAUUGUCUCUAAAAUUUUUAUAUCUCACUGAAAAUAAAAAAAUUCAUUUUUUUUUUAAGUAGAAGAAAUGGAAUUUUAUUUAAUUAAUUUUUUUUAAAUAUCACAUUUAUCCAUAUAUUUUAUAUGAAAUUUAUCUUAAAAUAAUUUUUCGUCAAAUUAUUUGAGCGUAUUCUAUAUUUUAUAGUUAAAAUUUUAAAAAUAAAUAACAAAUAUAUUUAUUUAUGGUAAAACCAAACCGUUUGUAUGGAAUUUGGUUAAAAUGUGUUACUUUAUUUUAUUUUAUUCUUUAUCAAACAAAUUAUAUAUAAUUCAUUGAUAUAAUAUUAUUUUUUUUUAUAAAGAGAUGGGCGAAACAAAUAAAAUAGUGUGAAAGUUAGAAGAUACGAAAAGGCAAAGUGGUUUGGUCCAUCCCGUUCCACUUGCGGGGAGAUACGAAAAGUGGAAAGGUCCAAAACAAAAAAAUGAAGACUAGAUUUCAAUCAUGCAUGUCUUUUUCAAUCAUUCAACCUUUUUCCUUGAAAUGCCAACCACUUUCCAAGGAAUGAAAAGGGCAAAUUACAUUGUUUUACCAAAAUUAACUUUAUUUUUUAAAAUAAAAAUAAUUAUAAUUUCUAUCCCAUACUGGUUCCCUGAAUUAGGUCGGUUUGAUCAUUAAUAUCAAGUCUAAUUCAAAUUAAAAAAUCAACUCAUUGCAGUGGGUCGAUGUUUAAUAUAAGUCCAAUUUAAUUCAAUAUUAAUUUCGAGGUAUCCAAUCUAAGAGCAACUCAAUUUUAUUUUUUUAAACUUCGUUGAAUUUUGAUUAAUUAGAUUUGACUCAAAUUGUAUGAUUCAAAAUUCUCUUAUAAUAUUUUUUUAAAUAUAUUUAUAUCAAAAUUUAAAUAAUAAAUAAGUUAAUACUUUAGGAUAAUAAUAAAAAAAUUAUUUAACUUUCUAAUAUAUUAAAAAAAAAAAUAUAAUUAUAAUUUAAUAUUGAAAAAAAAAUGAAAUAAGUAUUAUUAUACAUGAUGAUAUAAAUUAUAAAUAAUAUUAAAAAAAAAUGCUAAAUUGGGUUCAUGUCCUCCCAACCUUUGUCCAAUCCCAAUCCUAAUUAAGUUUAGAUUGAAAAUUUAUCCCUAGCAACCCAACCAGCAUCCCCACAAAAUAACUACUACGCUAGGUGAAAAAGCCUGUGGCACGGGAACCUACAACCUCCCUAAUAGUAAGGAAACGCAAGGUGCCCUGAUCCACAACUCCAACAGCUAAAUCAAAUCUGAAUAAUUAACUGUUAUUAACCUUCAAACAAUCUCAAUUACACAGGUUUGAUGUUGAACGGUUACCUAUAAGACCAAAAGUGUAUGGAACAUCUGGGCCAACUUUAGGAGGAGUUACAAACCAAAACUUGCGUGGAGUGUGUCCAAUCCCAACCUCAUGGAUCUUUUGUAUUUGAAGAUUAAGACUACUUGCUUAAUUCAUGGAUCUUUUGUAUUUGAAUCCAUAAUUUGAUCUUGUUUCUUUAUUUUUACCUUCCAUUCGAGGAUUUAUUCGAUCUUUGUUUCAUAUUGAUCGGUGUUCGUUGUUUUUUCUUAUAAUUUCAACUUUUAAAAUUGGGCUAGAAAGACACAUUCUAAUUUAGAUUAUUUGAUUAAAAAUGAUGAAAUAAUCUUCUAUUUAUUAAUCUAACCCUUCACUUUUUUUUAACAUAAAAUAAUAUAUAUUUAAUAAAAAUAUUAUCAUUUCUUUAUUAUAAAAAUAACCCAUUUUUUUUGUUUAGUUACAAAUAAUUAAAAUGUUGAAGGUUACUCUUUAAAUUCAAUGAUGAGAAAGAUUAGAUUUAGAAAUUUGGAUCUUCCUUAGAAUCAAUUAAUUAUUCUUAUUUAUUAUUUAACACACAAAAGCCUAAUCCUAACCUAGAAAGAAAGAUGGUAGAUGUGUUGUAUAUCUUCUGCUAUUGUCAUGUCUUCAUCAUGAAUAUGGACGUAAUGUUGUGCGAUGAGGAUUAUAAAGGAGGAACAUCACCAAAACCGUCACUGUUGAAGCGAAUUCUCGAUUUUGUGGAGAGUGGAUUGCCAUUAGGGAUGGAUUUAUUAAAGUGUAGAAAUUUUCUCUACAUGUUCGAUGGUGUGUACCCAAGUGACCACCCUUAUUAUUACAUAUACUCCAGAGAAGUGUCACAAACUUACACUUUUCCUAAGCUCAUGAACGACACUUAGACAAGCCAAGAUACUUGAUGUUGCUAAGUCAACCUUACCCACUUAACUAACUAAAUGUAGACCCCUCAUUUUGCCCUUGACACAUAUAAGUUACUAUCCAAGUAAGUUAUCGUAAUUUAUCGACUUGUAGUCUUCAAUUCUUCAUCAGGAGCUUAUUGGAGGAUAAAUGAUAGAAUUUGAUGUGAUUACAUGAACUUAUAAUUUUGUAGUUUAGGAUUCUUUGAUUGUUUAAAGUUAUUAUCAACCGUAAAUUGAAGCGAAACUUAGAAUUCUUUAAAAUAUUAAAUCCAUGUCUUAAAAUAUGAGAUGAAAUAAGUUGUUCCUUUUAAGUAAUGAACACACCAAAAUAAUUAAUAUUUCUAGUAUAUCAUGAAUCAUAAAUAAAGUUUAUAUGUUAUUAAAAGUCACACUUCAAAACACAAAAUAAAUUAAUUUUCCAAAUAAAAAACAAAUAUGCAACGUGUAUGUUUUUAUAAAAUAUUUAUACUUAGCUUUCAUAUAAUUUAAAACAUGCCAAACACACCUUAAUCUAACCCAUGUAUCAACUCUCCAUAAGUUGUUAGCCUAGUUUCCCCAUUCUUCUCACCCAUUAACCAUUCUCCCUUACUACAACUCAUAUCCCAGUUGUCCAAAACAUGCUUUAACCCAUGCAACUAGCCAUGCCAAAGACACCUUGCACUAGUCGUCCAUUAUCCUCAUAUAUAAGUUUAGUUUUUUAUUCCUUUUUGAAUUCAUUACUAGUAUUUAUGAAUUAAUCUCAUUUCUAUGAGAGUGCUUUAAGACGCUAAACCAGGUACGCAAACCUUUUCUUCACCAUUUAUUUAAAUUAAUGCUUGUAAUUGCAUAUUGUCUAUUAGUGUUUGCUUGUUGUGUUGAGAUUGUAUGACAUUAAAUUUGACUUGUUAUGGAAUAUGUGAUUGCUUAGAAUGUAAUGUAAUGUAAUGUUAUUGCUUGUUAUUUAACUUUUGUAUUUUCUAGAAGCGCUAGGAAUGCAAAUCAGAUAGACCUUUCUUUAUUAAUUAAAUUGAUGAAUUGUGUUGAUGUGUUUAUUUAGUUCAUAGUAUCCAUGAAUUAAGUAGUUAGUCCUCACAAUUAUCUCAACUUACUUAGUAAAAACCUAGUUUUUAGGAGUUAAAGGGGUGAUACGAUUUUUCACUAUACCUUCCAGAUAAGUAACCUGACCCACAAACCCAAAUUGGUUUUCACAGACCUGUCUUUUCUUUCAGGAGUUACAUUUAAAGUUUUUCUUUCUUAUUUUGUUUUCUCUUUUAAAAAAUAAAACGAAAGUAAGUGACGAUCUAUGAUUUAAAAAAAAAUAGUUUUUCACAAACAAAAAACGAGUUUUUCCAUCGAGUAAAAACACAUGUGAAAAUGUGGGAUCACAUUAAGCUAAACAUGCACAUGACUUGGAAGCCUAGAAGGCACACGUAGGCAACACUUCAAGGAAAGGAAACUUUAUUGCUCAAAAAAUGCAUAUAAUGCUUUGGAAACUUACUUGCUUAGUGUCUUGGCCAAAUGAGACCCUCACUUUGUUAUAGGCACCUUAGGAACUCUUUGGAACCCACAAAGGUUCCCCACUCUCCUAAAAUUUUAUUCUCUAUACAAAGGAUAUUUACAAGUAUUUCCAAGAGACCUCUGGAACUCUCUAAAUAGCUUCAUAUUCUUUCCUUAUCUUCCAUCUUAAUGUAGAGAUGUGUGGAUAUCUCUAGAUUUCUCCACAAUGUUCCAACUUAGGCAUACUAGGCAUAGGGUCGACUUGGAAGGCAUUUAGCAGUUGCAUCAAGCCCACAUGUGCCUCAACCUCUUGUUUUCUUUCAUCGACCAUGACAUUGAGCGUCUUCUUUUUUGGACAAUCUCAUGCCUAAUGUGGACUAUCAUAUAAUUAACACUGGGUCUUGGGUAUAAACUCAUUUCUGCCUUACCUUUUCCUUCUCGAACGUUAGGUGUCUUACUUGAUCCCAUUCUAAAAGCACCAUGGUCUCUCGAAACCUUGUCUCCCCCACCAUUAGCGUAGCUAUCCUCGUCUUGACUCAUCUUGGAGGAGUUUUUCUUCUUAUAAUUCGUCAAAGAUUCCUCUAUUGCCAUGGCAGUGGCUAAGUCUUGAACACUUAGGCAUCUUAGUUCCUGCUUGGUCAACCCUUGCAGUUUAUCUAUAAAGUUAAAUAGUAACUUUUCCUCAGUCAUGUUUGGAAUAUCUAGCAUGAGCGAAGCAAACCCUUUAACAUAGUCGCGAAUUGAGCUCGUGUGUUUGAGACUCCUCAUGUUCUUCUUAAUUAGAUAAGCCACGUCCUUGGGGGUAGAACGACCUCUUGAUCUCUUUCUUAAAGUCCUCCCUUAUCUCUAUGGUGCAAAUGUCUUUCUCUAUAGCGGCAAACAUCCGGCGCCACCAUAGAGUAGUCGUGUCAAUAAGGUAGAGAGUUGUAGUCCUCACCUUAGCCGCCUCAUCCAUUGGCCUAUAGCCUCAAAAUACCGCUCCAUGUGCCACAAAAAGUUAUCUAACUCCUUAACAUUUCUCUUGCCACUGAACAUGUAUGGUUUUGGCACCUCCACCCUUGGUUUCUUAAAGACAAUUCAUCGGGUGAAAUAAACAAGAAAGACGUGGUCAUGUAAGUUCUUAACUAACUUUAAAUUUUAUAAAAUCAUUCUAUGUUCGACCAAUAACAAACUCGGAUAUGCGGCCUUACUAAUAGAAAGAGCGGAGGUACCUUUUUUUGUGUCAAGUCCAAGAGGAUUGACCAUGCUCGAAGCUCCCAAGCUAAUUCCCCUUCUAAAGAUUAUUAUUAUUCCUAAUCAAAGAUAAAGUUGGAUAAAAAAAUCAUGAAUUAUUUUCAUUUUCAUCAUUUAUUGGUUACAUUUUUGCUACAACAAUUUUAUUUUUAGUAUUUAUAAUAAUUUUCAAAUAAUAAGAUAACCAUGCCCACCUUUUUUUUUCAACAUAAUUAUUUGAUCAAAAGUCUUGAUAAAAAAAAUUUAUAAUAACAUAAAUAGUGUAGCCUCUUUUGAAAGUUGUGUAUUAAAAAUAUGACAUUUAUUAAUUUUUUUUUUUAAUAAAUGUCAUUUUCAACUUAUGACUUUUAUUUUAGUAGUGUUUUUCUAACACUUGCGACUUCCAUUUUCAAAACAUUUGAUACUUAUCAUAACUUUGAAUCAUUUUCUUUAUGUCUAUUUUUGUAAUUUUUUUAUGUUAAUUUCUUUUUACAUUAUUGAUCGAAAACCUUAAUAAAUGAUUCAAAUUGAUGGAAAAAUUGAGUUAAAAUGAAGUAGACCCAACAAUAAUUCUUCAAUAUGACUUAAUUUUGGAAGCGUGCUUGAAAGACAUGGCUUUCUUUUCACUUGCACACUCAACGUUGACUUUUAAAAAACAUGUAUGCUACAUAAUUUUAUGUGAGUAAAGCCUAAUUAGCUACCAAUCUAAAUUAAAAUUAAUAAGUUAAUUGUUUCUUGAUAUGUAUUUGUUGAUAUUUAUAGUAAAUUUGAUUAUCUAAAUUGCAAAUUAGAUUAUUGCAAUACAAACUAUAACUCAACCAACACUUAUUAUAAAUAAGAAUUUAAUCAUUUCAUCUAAAAACCAAUUGAUUUUUAAUAAUGUCAAGCUCACUCUCUUUUAAUUAUUCGAGUCACACCAAAUUCCAAGCUAACAGUCUUGUACAUACUUCCUAAGCUAGUACCAAAUCUGAAGCACAUGUAAUCUUGGGUUUACUAUUUAAACAAUGUUAUAUCUUGAGCUAAUGUAAUAUUAGGUAAAUUUCUUGAGUCAACAUCAAAUCCUGAACGAGGACAAUCUUGAAUUAUACUUCUCGAAUCAUUAUUAUUAUUUAUUUCAAUACCAUUUAUUGUACAUAAUGAUUUCUUUUAUGUCAAUUAGUUUUCAUUGAAACCAAGCUAAUUACAGACGGGAAACAAUUGAAAUUCACAAAAAAAUUGGAAGUAAUUCCUUUGUGUUGUUAGUAGAAUUUGAAUCCUUUAUUUAAGAUUUAAUAUAUGAAAUUAAGAAUGGUCCACAAACUUCUAACUACUUUUUACAACAAAUUUUAAACUUAGAUAAGUAAAUUUUUUUUGAGAAUAUAUUUUGCUUAUUUUAAAAUAAAUUUAAAAUAUUUUGAAUAAUAAUUUAAAAUAUAAAGAUAUUUUAAAUAAUUUAUAUUUCACAUAAAUAUAUAAUACCUUUAUAUUAAACAAAUUUUAAAAAAGAAUUGUUUUUCGUAUUUAAGUUUUAAAUUGUUUUUGGAGUAAGAAUGAACUGAUUUUUGUGUUUGGUAGAGGUUGUAGUGUGCUCCCAGUUCUAAUUUACUUAAAAUGCAAUUCAAUCUGUAUCCAUGAUCCGAUAUAUUUGAUUGGUUAAGAUUCAAAUGUUUGAGGAUCUAAUGGUGUGGAUUGUGCGGAUGCAAGGAAGUACGGUGGGAGGAGGAGGAGUACCACAUAGAGACCGUAGAAUAUGGGGUUACGGGACUGACCUCCAAAGCAAAUGUCCCUAUCAUCCAUCCCUCAAUAUUUUUGGCACUGUAAAAGCUGACUUCGACUCUCUCCUGCAUCGCGUGGCAAACACACGUUGUUUUUAGAAAACAAAUCAUGGGUGGGGUUUAUUUUGAAGUUUUUGAUUAAAUAAAAAUAAUAAUUAUGUGAGUUAUAACUUUAUUGAUGUAUUUCUUAUAUAAUUUUUUUUUUGUUUUUUCCAUAAAAAAAAAAUGGAGAAAAAGUUAUCCGAACUCGCAUUCAUAAUUAUAAUACAAAAACAAAAGUUCGUAACUUUUUCUUUUACUUUAAAAAAAAAAAAAUUGAGAAAAGAGAGUAUCCAUGUUCUUAUGUAAGAGUUAUACAUCUUAUAUACAAAUUACUGAUAUUUUCUUUAUUUUUAAAAACAAAAAAUAUAAAAUAUAUUUACAUAUGUUUAAUUAUUAAAAUAAAGAUAAAAUAAUUCAUUGAAGAGGGAUGAAUAGGGUGUUGAUCAUUUUAAAAAAAAUUUAUAAAAUUUAAUUGAUAUGAAAGAUGGUGUUUAAAAUCAAUAUUUUUUAUUUUUAAAAACAAAAAAUAUAAAAUAUAUUUACAUAUGCUUAAUUAUUAAAAUAAAGAUAAAAUAAUUCAUUGAAGAGGGAUGAAUAGGGUGUUGAUCAUUUUAAAAAAAUUUUAUAAAAUUUAAUUGAUAUGAAAGAUGGUGUUUAAAAUCAAUGAUUGUUUAGUGUAUUUGUAUUUGUAUUUGGGAGUCCAUAGAAGAAUUAUCAUCUCGCGAGGAGAAGGCUAUGGAAUGGAGCUUUGACGUGCGAUAUGAAGAUGUUUACUUUGGAUGGUGUAGAGAAGUUGCAUGGGAUAGAUCCGAUGAUAAUUUGUGGGCUAUGAUCGAUGGGCCUGAGGACCGCUACUCCGUAGCGGUUGACUCUCUCAAAACUCGACCGCAUCUUCCAGGCUGUAUUCGAGAGGAUGAUGCAACUAGUGAGCAGAGGGACCAUAUGUGUGGAUUGAUGCCGUAUCUAAGCAACAAAGGUUUCUUGGACUUUUCUCAAUAGUACAGUAAUUUAAAAAAGUUAUUCUUAAAUUACUGUAGUGGAAGAAGUUAUUACAAAUAUAGAGUAGUUUUUGCCACAUAGGAGAGAGGAGAGAGGGUGAAGGAAUAAAUUUUUUUUAAAAAGCCAACUCGUCUCUUCAAGGAAACUCGUCUCUUCAAGAGACGAGUUCCCAUUAAAAAAAUAUAUAUAUAUUUUUAAAAAAUUCACAAAUUAAAAAAAAAAAUUUGGAACUAAAGGGAACUCGUCUGAAGAGAUGAGUUCCCAUAGGAAAAAAAAUAUAUUAUUUAUUUAAAAAAAAAUCCCAAAAAAAAAACACAAUUCCAAAGGGAACUCGUCUCUUCAAGAGACGAGUUCCUUUAGGAAAAAAAAUAUUUUUUUUUUAAAUAUAUUUUUUAUUUUUAAAAAUCCUAAAUUAAAAAAAAAAAAAAAAAAAACAAUUCCAAAGGGAACUCGUCUCUUCAAGAGACGAGUUCCCAUGUAAAAAAAAAUAAAAAAAAUUCAGAGCUCCCUUUAGGAAAAAAAUAAUUUUUUAAAAAAAUAUAUUUUUUAUUUUAAAAAAUCCCAAUUUGGAAAAAAAAAAAAAAAAANNNNNNNNNNNNNNNNNNNNNNNNNNNNNNNNNNNNNNNNNNNNNNNNNNNNNNNNNNNNNNNNNNNNNNNNNNNNNNNNNNNNNNNNNNNNNNNNNNNNAUGUAAAAAAAAAUAAAAAAAAUUCAAAGGUCCCGUUAGGGAAAAAAAAAAUUUUUAAAAAAAAAUAUUUUUUUUUUUAAAAAAUCCCAAAUUUGGAAAAAAAAAAAAAAAAAAAAACCCAAUUCCCAAGGGAACUCGUUUUUUGAAGGGGGGAGUUCCCAUGUAAAAAAAAAUAUUUUUUUUUAAAAUAUAUAUAUAUAAAAAAAAAAACAAUUCCUUAAAAUUCCUAAAGGAACUCGUCUCUUCAAGAGACGAGUUCCCAAGUUCCAUGUAAAAAAAAUUUACUCAAGGGAACUCGUCUCUUCAAGAUACGAGUUCCCUUAGGAAAAAAAUAUUUUUUUAAAAAAAUAUAUUUUUUAUUUUAAAAAAUCCCAAAUUAAAAAAAAAAAAAAAAAAAAAAAAAAAAACACAAUUCCAAAGGGAACUCGUCUCUUGAAGAGACGAGUUCCCAUGUAAAAAAAAUAUAUAUAUUUUUUAAAUAUAUAUAUUAAAAAAAAAAAAAACAAUUCCUCAAAAUUCCUAAAGGGAACUCGUCUCUUGAAGAGACGAGUUCCCAUGUAAUAGAUGAGUCCCUUUAGGAAAAAAAAUAUUUUUUUAAAAAAAUAUAUUUUUUAUUUUAAAAAAUCCCAAAUUAAAAAAAAAAAAAAAAACAAUUCCAAAGGGAACUCGUCUCUUGAAGAGACGAGUUCCCAUGUAAAAAAAAAAAAAAAAAAAAUUUAAAUAUAUAUAUUAAAAAAAAAAAAAAACAAUUCCUCAAAGGGAACUCGUCUCUUUAAGAUGAAUUCCCAUGUAAAAACAAUUUUUUUUUAAAAAAAAAAUCAUCAAGGGAAGUCGUCUAUUCAAUAGACGAGUUCCUAUGGGAAAAAAAUAAGAGACAAGAAAAAAAAAUAUUUUUUUAAAAAAAAUAUUUUUUUUUUAAAAAAAAAAUUCCCAAAUAAAAGAAAAAAAAAAACAAUUCCUCAAGUCAACUUUUCUCUUCAUAUAUAUAUAUAUUUUAAAAUUCCCAAAUAAAAAAAAAGAAAAUAAAGGAAUUUUAAAAUAUAUAUAUAUAUAUAUUUUAAAAAAUUCCCAAAUUAAAAAAAAAAAAAAACAAAAGAAUUUCCUCAAGGGAAAAAAAAUAUAUUUUUUUUAAAAAAAUUUCCUGAAGGGAACUCGUCUCUUGAAAAAAAUUAGUUUUUUUAAAAAAAAUCUUCAAGGCAAUUCGUAGAGACGAGUUCCCGUGAAAAAAAAAAAAAAAAACUCUCAAAUUAAAAAUAUAUAUUUUCAAUGUCAUUAAAGCGGCUUUUUCUGCUUAAAAAUAAAAUUAUUUCAAAUAAAAAUUAGAUUUUUAGGACAUGAAAUUUUUCAAGGAAAAACAAAUAGAAUAAAUAUGAAAUAAAAGAUAAAAAACAAUUGGAAAGAUUUUUAGGUUAUUCAAAUUAUGUUUCUGAUUACUUUAAAGAUUUCAGAAUGAACCCUUCUUAUAUUACUUAGAAAAAUACACUUGCACACCUGCAUGGACUGAGCAUCAAAAGUCACAUCAAAAGUCAUGAAUAGUAGUGAAUAGUAGUAUUUGUCUACUUUCUACUGCUUUGCAACCAACGUGGAGGAUGGGAAAGUAACAAGUCUUUGACAAAGAAAAUAAAUUCUCCCUCUGCAAACUUCAGUACCCAGCUGUCUCUACACGUGAUGGAUUUGAAACUUUUUCAAGAUUGCAGAUUCAAUAGAAUUUCAAGUCCGAAUCCUCGCCUAUAAAUAGAGCCUCAACUUUCUUCGUAAACAGAGUCGGUAAGAGAGCUUCAAGAGCAGAAAAAGAGCAAAAAAAAUUUAGAGAGUGCAAAGUUUUGAGAGUUCAAAAAAUUUUCUCUUGUAAUUUUCUUUUUUCAAUCUGAGUCAUCCCUCCCUUUGCUGUAAACCAGCCCGUAGCCCGUAAUCAUCAACUCUCUAUAAGGUAUAUUUUCAAUAAACAAAUUUUUCAUAUUCAAAUAUUUGUGUUAUUGUGUUUAAAUUUUUGCAAUAAAUUAUACAGUAUUAUAAAUUAAAUAUUUCUGUUGUUUUUAUAGUUGAAGAUUAUUAGACAGAAUUAAUUAUUACGUGCAUGAAUUAAUUAUUGUUUACAUGAAUUAAUUUAAAUAAAUUUAGUAAUGGUGGUUAGUGUGAAAUUAUUAAAAAAUUAAUAUUAUUUUUAAAUUAUUGAAAUAAUUCUUGUAAGAUAUUGAUAGCUAAAAAUUAAAAAUAAAUAAAAGUAGAAAUAAAACUAAAUUAUUAUUUGAUUUAUUUAAAUGGAUAUUUUAAUGUAUAAUAUAUAUAUAUAUAUAUAUAUAUAUAUAUAUAUAUCAAAGAAAUUUUCUAUAAUAUAACAUAGUAACAGUGAGUAUUAAAUGUAUAUAUAAUAUAUAUAUUUAAAUAUUUAAAUAUUACAUAAAUUUAAAUAUCUAUUUUAACAAAGAAAAGAAAUAUAUAAUUGUAAAAUAUUAGAAUAUAUAAUAAAAUAAAAUAAAUAAAUUUAUUAAUGGUUAUUAGUGUUAAAUUAUUUUUUUUCAUAUAAUAUUAUUUAAAAAAUAUUAAAUUAAAAGAAAUUUAAGUAGAACAUUAUCGAAAUUAUGAAUUUAUCUUCUAUAUUUUAUGAAAAAUAAUAUUAGUGUUAAAUUAUUGAAAUAAUUCUUCUCAGAUAUUGAGACCAAAAUAUAAAAAAUAAAUAAAACUAAAAUAUUAUUUGAUUUAUUUAAAUGGAUAUUUUAAUGUAUAAUAUAUAUAUAUAUAUAUAUAUAUAUAUAUAUAAGUAAUUUUUUAUAAUAUAAAAUAGUAACAGUGAGUAUGAAAGGUAUAUAAUAUAUAUUUAAAUGUUAAAAUAUUAUAUACGUUUAAAUAUCCAUUUUUAAAAGAGAAAAGAAAUAUAUAAUUGUAAAAUGUUAGAAUAUUAAAAUAUUAAAAAAUAUUUGAAUGAUGCAGGAAAUACAUUUUCAUGGAUCCUGGACCAGUAGAUAGUUCAGUUCUAUAUAACCAGGAAAUACACCGAUCUUCACUUAUAUGGGAAGGAAAUGAUCCCGGAGAACUCCAUUGUCGACGUCGUGAAGCCAGUUUUUUUCGUAAUAGUGUUUUGGAUGCACGUAUCAUUCCAUAUUUGCAACAAUCUGGAUUCUACGGUGUUGCUCGAUUAGGUUUUAUUUCAUUGGAUUGGCAUCUUAUUAUAGCAUUCAUAGAGAGAUGGCGUCCUGAGACCCACACUUUCCAUGUACCUUAGGGAGAGUGUACCAUCACACUUCAAGAUGUUAGCAUUAUUUUAGGCUUACCGAUUGAUGGUGUUGCAGUUACCGGUACCACGUGCUUAGAUUGGAGAGAGGUGUGUGCCACACUAUUAGGAGUGGUGCCUGGAGAUAGAGAUAUAUCUGGACAAAGACUUCGUUUGAUGUGGUUGACAGAACAUUUUCCUUCAUUGCCACCUGAUGCUGAUGUGGAGUCCGUGAGAUGCUAUGCUAGGGCAUUCAUCUUACAGUUGAUUGGAGGUUUUCUUUUUGCGGAUAAAUCAAACAAUAGAGUACACUUAAUGUUUUUACCACUACUUCAGGAUUUUGGAGUUAUUGGUACUUACAGUUGGGGUAGUGCUUGCCUAGCUUGGCUAUAUUGAGAGAUGUGUCGAGCAUCCCGUAUUGAUGUACAUGAUGUAUCAGGUCCUCUGAUUUUGUUGCAGUUAUGGAUAUGGGAUAGAUUUCCUUUUAUGUCACCUAUGCGCUUACAUCCGACACCACAUGAUGAAGUACAACCACAACCACCCUUAGGCAUGCGGUAUGUAUUCAACCAUAGUUAUAGCAUAUGUAAACACAUAUAUGCAUAAAUAAACAAUUACUAAAACCUUUAAUAUAUAUUCUUUUUGUAGUUGGAGAGAUGAAUUCCGUACUACUUCGACGCCUAUGCAUGUGCUAUCCCAGUAUAGAUAUCUACUUGAUCGACUUAUGCCAGAGCAGGUGAUAAAUUCAUUAUUUUGAAUAAAUUUUUUUAAAUGAUUUAUAAUGAAAUUAUUAUUAAAUAAUGUGAGUUAUAUUUCAAAUUUAAUUGCAGAUUAUAUGGGAGCCAUAUACUGAUGAUGUCAUCUCUGCACUCCCAGAUUACUGUACUAUUGCCUCUGACUUGUGGUUGACUAUUUCACCCCUUAUCUGUUUCCACAUAGUGGAGUGGCAUAGACCUGAUCGUGUUUUGCGGCAAUUUGGGCUAGUACAACAUAUUCCCGAGCAAUGCGAUACAGAAUUGGGCUUACAUAGAUAUGAUUUGAGGGGUCGACAUGAUUUUGAUUGGAUGAGUAUUCAUCACCACUAUAUUCAAAGGUGGGAGGCUAGGUACGAUCAUCUUGCUAGAGCUGAGGCAGCAUAUACUUCGUACGGGUAUAACCACCCAUAUAUGGUGUGGUAUCGUUCGAUCACUCGCCUUUUUUUUACUCCACAUGGAUCUUCGUGGGAGAUAGUGGUAAUUACAAUGUCUUUUUAUUUAUUACUAUAUUUUCUUCUUAUUACAAAAACAUCUAACUUUUUAUUCUUAAUUCUUACAGAACCGCAGUUUGCAACAAAUACAUUUAUGGACUUCUCCAGCUACACCGAAUAUCGGUCAUCGUGAUGCAAUUCAUCAAUUAUGUGCAACCACUUUAGAGGCUAUACACGAGGCUGAUCGGUUAGUUAUUCCCCCUAAUGUUGUUGAUACGGAGAGACAAUCAUCGGAUGAGGAGGUUAGGAUAAGAGAUGGUGGGAUGCGGACUAGGGGUGGUAGGGUGCGGACUAGAGGUGGUGGAGUACAUCCUACAGGUGGAGGUGUUUGCACUAGAGGCGGAGGUGUACGAACACGUGGAGGCCAUAUUUCUGAUGAUCCACACUUCCAUAGCGAUGAUGUAGCUAUACAUUUUCCACCAUCAGCUCUACAACAUUCUUCCUUCAAUUUUUCUACACCACUUGACCAGUCACUGCCUUAUUCAUCAGUUCCAUUCAUUGCUGAGGGGGUGAUACAGGAAGAUGUUGGGACAUCAUUCAUGCAGGAGAUAUUGCAUUCUUAUAUUGAUGGGUCUUCUUUUCAUAUACCUAUGUCGUCUAGUAUCGAUGUAUCAUUUACUCCACCUACAGCACCACUCAUUGCUUUGUCACCACAGUCAUUAGGACAUCCAUUUAGAGAUGAUGUGGCGACACAAAUGCAAUACUUUUCAUCACCACUUGUUGAACAACAGCUAGAGGCACAAGUGCAAGAUGAAGGACGUGGACGAGGAAGAGGUCGAGGACGAGGACGGGGACGAAGACGAGGAAAUGAAGCAACAUUAGAUGUUCCCUCAGAUCAAUCCAAGUUGGAAAGAUGUCACCAACGGCCACAACGAAGAAGGAAACCUCCUUCAUGUGGCACACAUUGAUGACUUUUAUAUCUUGUAUGGUACAUUUUUUUUUUAUUCUUCGUUUAUUUGUAUUAAUGAUGAAUACUAACUUUUAUUGGUUCCUAGUUCAUUCUUCGUUUUUUUUUUUUUUUAAUUUGGGACUUUUUAAAAAAAAUUAUUUUUUUUUAAUGGGAAAUCGUCUCUUUUGGAAAUUUUUUUUUUAAUAAUUUCGGAUUUUUUUUUUAAAUAUAUUAAUUUUUUUUAAUGGGAACUCGUCUCUUGAAGAGACGAGUUACUUGAGGAUUUUUUUUUUUUUGGAUUUUUUUUAAAAAAAAUUUAAUUUUUUUUUUAUUUUUCAUGGGAACUCGUCUCUUGAAGGAAAUUUUUUUUUUUUAAUUUGAGAUUUUUUAAUUUAAGGAUUUUAAAAAAUAUAUUUUUUUUCCUAAAGGGAACUUGUCUCUUGAAGAGACGAGUUCCCUUUAGGAAUUUUUUUUUUAAAAUAUAUAUAUUUUUAAAAAAAAAAUAUUUUUUUUUACAUGGGAACUCGUCUCUUCAAGAGACGAGUUCCCUUUAGGAAUUUUGAGGAAUUGGUUUUUUUUAUUUUUUUUAAAUAUAUAUUUUUUUACAUGGGAACUCGUCUCUUCAAGAGACGAGUUCCCUUUGGAAUUGUUUUUUUUUUUUUUUUUAAAUUUGGGAUUUUUUUUAAAAAAUAUUUUUUUUCCUGAAGGGAACUCGUCUCUUGAAUUUUUUUUUUUAUAUAUAUAUAUAUUUUUUUUAAAAAAAUAUUUUUUUUACAUGGGAACUCGUCUCUUGAAGAGACGAGUUCCCUUUAGGAAUUUUGAGGAAUUGUUUUUUUUUUUUUUUAAUAUAUAUUUAAAAAAAUAUUUUUUUUUUACAUGGGAACUCGUCUCUUCAAGAAGAGACGAGUUCCCUUUGGAAUUGUGUUUUUUUUUUAUUUUUAAUUUGGGAUUUUUUAAAAUAAAAAAUAUAUUUUUUGAACUUGUCUCUUGAAUUUUUUAAAAAAAAAUAAAUAUUUUAAAAAAAAAUAUUUUUUUUACAGGGGAACCCCUCCCUGGGAGAGACAAUUUCCCCUUAAAAAUUUUGAGGAAGGGUUUUUUUUUUUUUUUUUCCCUCAAAAAAAGUUAAAAAAUAAAUAUAUUUUUUUUACCGGGGAACUGGCCUCUCCAAAAAAGAAGUCCCCCCUUGAAAUGGAGUUUUUUUUUUUUUUAAAUUCGGGAUUUUUCUAAAAAAAAAAAUAUUUUUUUUCAAAAANNNNNNNNNNNNNNNNNNNNNNNNNNNNNNNNNNNNNNNNNNNNNNNNNNNNNNNNNNNNNNNNNNNNNNNNNNNNNNNNNNNNNNNNNNNNNNNNNNNNUUUUUUUUUUUUUUUUAAAAUUGGGAAUUUUUUUUAAAAAAAAUUUUUUUCCAAAAGGGGAAACAUUUUUUGAAAUUUUUUUUUUUAAAAAAAAAUAAAUUUUUUUAAAAAAAAUUUUUUUUUUCAAGGGGAAUUGUUUUUUGAAAAGGAGGGGUUCCCUUUGGGAUUUUGGGGGAAUGGUUUUUUUUUUUUUUUAAAUAUUUUUAAAAAAAAUUUUUUUUUUUACAAGGGGAAUUGUUUUUUUAAGAAGGGACGGGUUUCCUUUGGAAAUGUGUUUUUUUUUUUUUUUUAAUUUGGGAUUUUUUUAAAUAAAAAAUAUAUUUUUUGAACUUGUUUUAUGAAUUUUUUAUAUAUAUAUAUAUAUUUUAAAAAAAAAUAUUUUUUUUACCUGGGAACUUGUUUUUUGAAGAGACGAGUUCCCCUUUGGAAUUUUGGGGAAAUGUUUUUUUUUUUUUUUUUUCUUUAAUAUAUAUUUAAAAAUAUAUAUAUUUUUUUUACAUGGGAACUUGUCUCUUCAAGAGACGAGUUCCCUUUGGAAUUGUGUUUUUUUUUUUUUUUAAUUUGGGAUUUUUUAAAAUAAAAAAUAUAUUUUUUUAAAAAAAUAUUUUUUUUGAACUCGUCUCUUGAAAUUUUUUUUUAUAUAUAUAUAUUUUUUAAAAAAAAAUAUUUUUUUUUACAUGGGAACUCGUCUCUUGAAGAGACGAGUUCCCUUUAGGAAUUUUGAGGAAUUGUUUUUUUUUUUUUUUUUUUUUAAUAUAUAUUUAAAAAAAUAUUUUUUUUUUACAUGGGAACUCGUCUCUUCAAGAGACGAGUUCCCUUUGGAAUUGUUUUUUUUUUUUUUUUUUUUUAAUUCGGGAUUUUUUAAAAAAAAAAAUAUAUAUUUUAAAAAAAAUAUUUUUUUUCCUAAAGGGAACCCGUCUUUUGAAAUUUUAAAAAUAAAAAAAUUUUUUUUUUUUUAAAUUUUUUUUUUUUUAACAGGGGAACCCUCCCCUUCAAAAAACGAGUUCCUUUAGGAAUUUUGAGGAAUUGUUUUUUUUUUNNNNNNNNNNNNNNNNNNNNNNNNNNNNNNNNNNNNNNNNNNNNNNNNNNNNNNNNNNNNNNNNNNNNNNNNNNNNNNNNNNNNNNNNNNNNNNNNNNNNACGGGUUCCCCUUAGCAAUGUUUUUUUUUUUUUUUUAAUUUGGGCUCCCUCAAAAUAAAAAAUAUAUUUUUUUUAAAAAAUAUUUUUUUUCCUAAAGGGAACUUGUCUCUUGAAAUUUUUUUUUUAUAUAUAUAUAUUUUUAAAAAAAAUAUAUAUUUUUUUACAUGGGAACUCGUCUCUUGAAGAGACGAGUUCCCUUUAGGAAUUUUGAGGAAUUGUGUUUUUUUUUUUUAAUAUAUAUUUAAAAUUUUUUUUUUUUUUUUACAUGGGAACUCGUCUCUUCAAGAGACGAGUUCCCUUUGGAAUUGUUUUUUUUUUUUUUUAUUAUUUAAUUUGGGAUUUUUUAAAAUAAAAAAUAUAUUUUUAAAAAAAAAUAUUUUUUUUCCUAAAGGGAACUCGUCUCUUCAAGAGACGAGUUCUUUCCAGAGACAUCUUAAAAAAAACUUUAAUUUAAAUAAUUGAAUUUUCAACUAGAACUUACAAUAUCUUAAAAAAAAACUUUAAUUUAAAUAAUUAAAUUUUCAACUAGAACUUACAAUAUCAUUGAGCGGUUGUGUUAGAAGACUCCCCUCUGUUAGGACAUUUUCGCCGAUUGUGACCCUCUUGUUUACAAAGCCCACAUCGCAAUUUAACACUUGGUUCUCUCCAAUCCAUUUCAUUCCUAAACCUUGAAGAUCUUGGUCUUCCUUUAUCACGUACUAGAGUUGGAUUAGGAUGAACAAUUGGAAAAUUAGGCUCUGGCCAAUAUGCUUGAUGUGGAAUUGGAUUGAAUUGAGGUGUAUAGCAACAAGCAUAUACAUCCAUCCUAUAAUGUUUGUCAACAAAUUGCCAACUAUCAAUCCUUGCACGUGCACAUACAGCCAACACAUGUGAACAUGGUAUACCAAAUGAUUGCCAUUUAUUACAAGUACAUGUUCUUUCUUUCAACUUCACAAUUUGUAUAUUGUUUCCUUUAUCCAUAUGAAACCCAUGGGGAGCAGUUGUAACUUCAAAUAUCUCAUUUGAACGGUGAAAAAUAUUGGCAGUGUGUCCACUAGCCCUUGAUUGAUAUUUUGUUAUUUUGUUAAUGACAUAGGAAGUAUACAAAUCUCCAUUUGCCAUUUGAGUUUGUAUCUCUGUUCGACGAGUCUCGAAAUAUGAAACACAACGAUAGAAAGUUAAUCGAACAAGAGCAGUGAUAGGCAACAUUCUAGCCCCUUUGAGCACUCCAUUUAUGCAUUCAGCAAUAUUUGUAGUCAUCCACCCAUACCGAUGUCCUCCAUCAUGUGCCAAAGUCCAUUUCUUUGUGUCCAACCUGUUAAACCAUUCUAAGCAUUUCUCAUCUAAUUGUUUUAACUCAGUCAUACAUGCCUCAUACUUUCGUGGUUGAUGUUGAGACCCUGCUCUAUACACUAAGUCUUUUAACAUCUUAUUUCUAUAUUUAUCAUUGAAAUUGCUUGCCACAUGCCUAAGACAAUAUCGAUGGUGUGCAUAAGGCGGGCUCCAACCAACACUAGGAUCCCUAAUGGCGGCUUGUAUUCCUGCAUGACGAUCUGAAAUAAGACAUAUGCCUUCUCUUUGUGUGACUUGAGUCCUUAAUAUAUAAAGAAACCAAGACCAACUAUCUGAUGAUUCCUCUUCAACUAUUGCAAAUGCUAGAGGGAAGAUAUGACCAUUAGCAUCGAUUGAUGUUGCAAUCAAAAGUUUCCCUAUGUAUUUUCCAUAUAAAAAAGUACCAUCUAUUUGUAUUAUUGGUCUACAAUGCUUAAAUCCUUCAACACAUGCCCCAAAAGCCCAGAACACACGCAUAAAACGUACAUUUCCAUUGCAACCUGCUAGUAAUGAUGUCUUCCAAACAACCUUAGUCCCAGGGUUAGUAAGUUUAAUAAUAUUCAUCCACCUAGGUAAAGUUUGGUAAGAUUCAUCCCAAUCACCAAAUAUCCUUAUCAUUGCUUUCCUCUUUGCUUCCCAAAUCCUCUUGUAAUGAACAUUAUAACCAAAUUUAUCUUUCACUAUUUGAUGUAACGCAGCAAUUGAAAUUGUGUGAUCACUUUGGACUACAUUUUGAACUUCUCGUGCAAUGAAGGUUGAGUCUAAUUGUGAGUGGUCUUGUGAUAGUUUAGGGUAAACACAAGUGUGAGGACCUAUGUACUUUGUUAUCUCAAACAAACCAUGACAUUUACGACGACAUGCACGAAACCUCCAAUUACAACCCUCAGACCAUUUUUUACACUUUACAACCCAAAAAUCUGGCUCAGAUUCAAUAACAAUCAAAUGUUGAUUCCUACAUAUAGAAUAACGUUUAACAGCAUAUUGUAAGUCUACCUUACUUUCAAACCGCAAACCCUUAAACAAUUCAUCUGAUUCAUUCCAUAAGCCAGUGCGUGCUAUUAAAUCCUUGUCAGUGAUGGAGUUAAUUACAUCCCAAUUCAAUUCUCUAAAUAUUGGGGAAGGGACAUCAUGUUCACCACCACCUAGCAAUGAUGCAUCAUUUUCUGUAUUUUCAUUAUCCUCCAUGUCCAUAAUAUCCUCAUUACCAUCAUCUUCAUCAAAUAACUCUACAUUGUCAUCAUCAAUUCCAGGUAAAAUAUCAACAUAAUUUCCAACUGUCAUUACAAUUGACUCAGUAACCCCUGCCAUAUCUACCCUAACUGUAGGUUCCAUAUCAUUAUCAUAACUUUGCAUAUACUUAGGGGAAGAUGUGUUAUUUUCUACCAUAUGUUGACUUGGACCUAGGCUUUCAAUAUGCAAUGGGGUAGUAAAGCUACUAGGCACAGGGUGAUAAUCAAUGGAAGAAGUUUGACAAUACAUUUCAAUAGUAUUUGGAGGAGGAGAUUGUGCGACAACGGUGAACAUUAUCCUUACAUCACCAUCAUCUCGAAUAGGCAAAGGGACAUAAUUAACAGUACCAUUUCCAUUUGGAAAGGGAACUGGAUAUCAAAACACCAUAUUUAACUUGGUAUAAGUACGAUUAAUAUUCAGAGCAUGACACAAUUUUGUUUCUAACUCAUCAAAUGUUAUCAUACUAUUGAUUAAAACACCUUUAUCAGGAGGACGAUUAUAACUUACCCCAAAUUCACAAUCAAUAAUUUCACUCCUGGUAUAGCACAACACCGUGGUGUAACCGUCCAUUAUAAAACCUAUUCAAAAGAUCAACAAAAAAUAUCAUCAUCAAUAAACUUUAUGAUAAUAACAAUAUAUAUUUUGCAAAUCUAUUUUACUAAUAUUACGUCCAUUACAAUAUAUUUCUUUUCUUUUUAAAAAGGGAUAUUUAAAUGUAUAUAAUAUAACAUUUUAAAUGUCCAUUUACAUAUUUAAGAUAAGAUCAACUCUCGGAUAAUGUUCUACUUAUAUUUCUUAUAUUUUUAUAUUUUUUUAAUUAAUAUUAUAUGCAAAAAAAUAAUUUAAUACUAACAACCAUUACUAAAUUUAUUUAUUUUCUUUUAUUAUAUAUUCUAACAUUUUACAAUUAUCUAUUUCUUUUCUUUUUUAAAAUAGAUAUGAAAUGUAUAUAAUAUUUGAAUAUUUAAAUAUAUAUAAUUGACUAUUUUAUAUUAUACACAAUUAUUUUAUACAUAUAUAUUAUAUUAAAAUAUCCAAUUAAAUAAAUCAAAUAAUAUUUUAAAUUUAAAUAUACUUUAAUUUAUUUUUAAUUUUUAGCUCUCAAUUUCUUACAAGAAUUUUUUCAAUAAUUUAAAACUAAUGUUAAUUUUUAUAAACUAUAGAAUACAAACUCAAAAUUUCGAAUAAUGUUAUACUUAUAUUUCUUAUAUUUUAAUAUAUAUACAUAUAUAUAAUGUAUGCAAAAAAAUAAUUUCAAAAUAAUUUCACACUAAUAAUAUUAUAUAUUAUAACAUUUUACAAUUAUAUAUUUCUUUUCUUUGUUAAAAUGGACAUUUAAAUGUAUAUAAUAUUUUAAUAUUUAAAUAUAUAUUAUAUACCUUUAAUACUCACUGUUACUAUGUUAUAUUAUAGAAAAUUACUCCUAUAUAUAUUAUACAUUAAAUAGCCAUUUAAAUAAAUCAAAUAAUAUUUUAGUUUUAUUUCUACUUUUAUUUAUUUUUAUUUUUUAGCUCUCAAUAUCUUACAAGAAUUAUUUCAAUAAUUUAAGACUAAUAUUAAUUUUUUUAUAAUAUAGAAGAUAAAUUCAUAAUUUCAGAUAAUGUUAUACUUAAAUUUCUUAUAUUUUAAUAUUUUUUAAAUAAUAUUAAAUGCAAAAAAAUAAUUUAACACUAACCACCAUUACUAAAUUUAUUUAUUUAUUUUAUUUUAUUAUAUAUUCUAACAUUGUACAAUUAUUAUAUGUUUCUUAUCUUUUCUUUUUUAAAAUGGAUAUUUAAAUGUAUUACACAAUAAAUAUGAAAUAAAGGAAAAAAUAUUACCUAUCAAUAAAAACAAACUGAUAUAAUAAUAAAAAGGCAAAAAUAUUACCUACCAAUAAAAACUGAUAUAAUAAUAAAAACUAUAUAUCAUAAAAUAAAAUAAAGCAAAAAUAUUACCUUAGAAGAUAUGCUCAAAUUCUACCAAAGGUGAAAAACUGAGAAGUGAAAAUUUCAGUUUGAAGUGGGAAGAGUGGGAAAAUGUAAGUGAAGAAGUUUAAAGUGGGAAGAAUGGGAAAAUGUAAGUGAAGACGUUUGAAGGUGAAAAUGAGAAUGAAGAAGGUAAUUUAUAGUGUUUGAGAAGUUGUAAAAAGGUACCAUGAGUGGUUAAAAUUUGAGUUUAAAAUGGAAUUGGUAGAGUGUAACGGUAUGAUACCAACGUUCUUCUUCGAAAUAGCUAGCCCGAAAUAGCAAACGGGCUAGCUAUGAUAGCAAACGGGCUAGCUAUGAUAGCAAACGGGUUAGCUAUGAUAGCAAAUGGCUUACCUAUUAUAGCAAACAGUGUUGUUCAAAAUAGCAAACGGUAUUGUUCAUAGCAAACGACUUAGCUAUGAAGAGACGAUUUCCUUUUUGGAUUUUUUUUUUUAUAAUUUGGGAUUUUUUUUAAUGAAGAGACGAUUUCCAUUUUGAAAUAUUUUUUUUUUUAUAAUUUGGGAUUUUAAAAAACAAAUUUAAAAAUAUUAAUUUUUUUUUAAAGAGACUAUUUUCCCUUUGAAUUUUUUUUUUUUAAUAUUUGGGAUUUUUUAAUCUUGAAGAGACGAGUUCCUUUUUAGGAAUUUUGAGGAAUUGUUUUUUUUUUUUUUUUAAUAUAUAUAUUUUAAAAAAUAUAUAUAUUUUUUUACAUGGGAACUCGUCUCUUGAAGAGACGAGUUCCCUUUGGAAUUGUGUUUUUUUUUUUUUUUUAAUUUGGGAUUUUUUAAAAUAAAAAAUAUAUUUUUUAAAAUAAAAAAUAUAUUUUUUAAAAAAUAUUUUUUUUUCCUAAAGGGAACUCGUCUCUUGAAAUUUUUUUUUUAAAUAUAUAUAUAUUUUUUUUAACAUGGUAACUCGUCUCUUAGGAAUUUUGAGGAAUUGUUUUUUUUUUUAUUUUUUAUAAUAUAUAUAUUUUAAAAAAAAUAUUUUUUUUUUACAUGGGAACUCGUCUCUUGAAGAGACGAGUUCCCUUUGGAAUUGUGUGUUUUGUUUUUUUUUUUUUUUUUUUUUUUUUUUUUUUUUUAAAAUUUGGGAUUUUUUAAAAAAAAAAAUAUUUUUUUAAAAAAAAAUUUUUUUUUCCCAAGGAACUCGUCUUUUGAAAAAACGAGUUCCUUUAGGAUUUUUUUUUUUUGGGAUUUUUUUUAAAAAAAAAAAAUUUUUUUAAAAAAAAAAUAUUUUUUUUUUCCCAUGGGAACCCCUUUUUUCAAAAAAGUUCCCUUUUUUUCCAAAUUUUUUUUUUUUUUUUUAAUUUGGGAAUUUUUUAAAAAAAUAUUUAUUUUUUUUAAUUGGGAACCCCUUCUUUCAAAAAAAGAGUUCCUUUUUUUAAAAAAUUUUACCGUUUAACCCUUUUUCCUUUNNNNNNNNNNNNNNNNNNNNNNNNNNNNNNNNNNNNNNNNNNNNNNNNNNNNNNNNNNNNNNNNNNNNNNNNNNNNNNNNNNNNNNNNNNNNNNNNNNNNUUAAAUUACUGUAGUGGAAGAAGUUAUUCCAAAUAUAGAGUAGUUUUUGCCACAUAGGAGAGAGGAGAGAGGGUGAAGGAAUAAAUUUUUUUUAAAAAGCCAACUCGUCUCUUCAAGGAAACUCGUCUCUUCAAGUGUGAAUUUUUUAAAAAUAUAUAUAUAUUUUUUAAUUGGGAACUCGUCUCUUCAAGAGACGAGUUCGCUUUUUUAAAAAAUUUUACCCGUUCACCCUCUCUCCUCUCUCCUCUCUCUCACCCUCUCUCCCACCCUCUCUCCUCUCUCCUCUCUCCUCUCUCCUCUCUCCUAUGUGGCAAAAACUACCCUAUAUUUGUAAUAACUUCUUCCACUACAGUAAUUUAAGAAUAACUUUUUUAAAUUACUGCACUAUUGAGAAAAGUCCAAGGUUUCCUUCUCUAUGUCUUUGUUCUUCAAGUAGAAAAACUUGAAUCAGGGAAGGGACCCCUAUCACAAGCACCAUUAUCAGUUAGAUAUUUGAGGCGUCAAGUUUAUGACUUCAGCUUUCUUGAAUGCAGAAAUGAAGAAUUCACUGCGGAUGUCUUCUCCAAAGCUGUCGUGUGAGUGUUUUUAUUUUUUUAUUUUUUUUCAACCAGUUGAAAUCAAUUCACUGAACACUAACACUAAGCUGCCAUGAACAGUUGUACUAAAACUAAGUAUCUCUUGUAGCUAAACUGCUACCAUUUUUCAUUUAUGUUUCUUUAAAUUCAUUUAACUUAUUUUGUUACUUUAUAUAAAGAUUAAAAGUGCAUUUAACAGUGGUUAUGAAAAGUGUUUAGCAUUUUUAAUACUUAAAAAAUAAAAAAUUUUAAGUAUUAAAAAUGUUAAAAACACUUUUUAGAAUCACGGUCAAAUACACUCUAAAUUUAAUUACACUUUAUUUUCUUUCAUAUAUAUUUAUAAUGAAACAAAUAUGAGAAAAAAAAAACAUUUUUCUUGACAGUUUUUUUCUUUCUUUGGUAUUUUUCCCAAAUCAAACAUAAGAAUAUAUUUUUUUAUAACUUUUAUUCGGUUGGUUUAUGAAAUAUUUUACCUGAAUGAUUGAAUCUGAAAUAUUCUACAGGCCAGAGUAGAUUUUGGAAGGCUAAUGGAGUAACCCUUUAGAUUUGGCUGGGUUGAUCUGCUGCAAAUGCAUUUUGAAAAUCCAAGGCAAUAACCUUCACUAAAUGGUUGCAAAAGGAGGAAAAAACUUAGGGCAAAAGUAGAGCUACUCAAUUGAGAUUAUGAGAUAUGGCUGUCAAUUUGCUUUACAGAAAAAUAAAAGAAAUUUACAUUGUUUUCACUACAAAAGAAAACACGCUUCUCAUAAUCCAAAAUUGCUGGUAUUGGUUUUUUUUGGUCAAUGGUGUUAGAGAUUUGGUAUAUCCUUGAGGCUGGUACUGUUGAGAUUUUCCUUCUUCCUCAUGAGCAACUCAAGCUACGAGUUAGAUUGAUGAAGGCUUCUUCUCUGCAUGGUACCUUGCAUUGUUAUAUAACUAUGGUCGAGCAUGUAGCAUUUUUAGUCUCUCAAAAACAAUUCAUUAGUUGAAAUAAACAAGAAAGACAGGGUCAUGUAACUUCUUUCAUUUUCUCAUGAAGUGUAACCAAGGAUUCAAUUUUUUUUUAUAAAAUAUCGUCGAUAUAUCAAAUAUUGGUGGUGUCGUGAGAAUUUUGGCCAAAAUAUCUUAAAACAUCUUGGAGGUGGAGCGAUGCAUCGGCCAUUUUUUGAGAAAAAUAGGGAAUAUUUCGAGAAAAAUGGGAGAUUUUGUUGAAAGUUUUUUUAAAAAAAUAUUUAAGUUUUUUUUAAUUAUUCAUUUUUAAUUUAUUUAUUUUUAUCUUAAAUCUAUAUUAUCAUUUUAUUUUUUAUAUUUAUCUCAUUAAUGUUAUUUUUAAAAAUUACUAUCACUUCAUUAUUAAUUUUUUAUCCGUUUAAUUUUAUUUAAUUUUAAAAUAUUAAAAAGAUCAUUUCACUCAAAAAUUGCUAUAAUAUAAAAAAAAUAAUGGAGUCCUAAUAUUUAUAAAUUAAAAUUGAUUUGAUAAGACAAAUUAUUAAUAAUUUUAAUUAUUUAAAUAAAUUAAUGUUAAUAGAAAAAUUAUCACCAUAUAUUUGUAAUAAAUUUUUAGAAAUUAAAUCGUAAAUAAAAUAUUUUAUGUAAAUCAAUUUAAUUUUAUUUCAAAUGUAAUAAAACAUGUUUUAAUAAAAGUAUUUUUAAAAUUUUAAAGUAAAUGAAUAUAAAUAUAUUAAAGGAAUUUAAGCUAAUUUUUUUAUAAAAUUUUAUCUUUAAUUGUAUUUAUAUCAAUUAUACUUAUAAAAUAACUUUAAUAUAUAUAUAUAUAUAUAUAUAUAUAUAUAUAUAUUCUUAUUUUAUCAUUUUUUUUAGAGUUUUUUCAAGCAUUCUCAUCAAUUUUGAAUCAUUUUCCUCAUCAAUAUUUUUGUCAAAAUAUCCAUUAAUAUUUCUCCAAUAUUUAUGAUAUAUCCAAUAAAAUCCAAGUAUUGGAUUCCUUCUUUAUAAAUGAAAAAAUAUGCCUUAAUCCAUGUAUGCAUUCUUACAACAAAAAAGAUAUAUGUACCUUUUAACCUAGUCUUCUUUUUCCCUUAUUUUUUCCCUUUUUGUGUAGCUAAUCGAAUUCUUUGUUUUUCUUGGAUUGAAAAAGCUCUCAAGUCUCAACCUCGGUGACGGAUGCUUACAAUCCCUUUAUAAAGGGCAAAACUUUAAGUGGGAAGUUGCUUACUCAGCAAAACAAUUAAUCUUGGUUUUACAACAGAAAAUUGUUUUAAUAAUUUUUUUUUAUACUAAGCCUGUGCCUGGCCCUAGCCUAAACUUAAUCCAAAGCUUUAAAUUUCAUAUUUCUUUUUUCCUAAACAUUCUAAUCUUUCUAAGAAAUCUUUCUAUGAGUAGUUGUUGAUUAAAGGCAUAUUCGUGGUACUCCAUCUAUACGCAUUGUACCUCAUUUACCCUUCCAAAAUGCUUUACGGUUUGACUUAUCAUUGUUACAACACACCUACAAUCAUUUUAUAGAGGAGUUACAAUAUGCGCCAUAUCCGUAAGCUUUCUUCCAUAGUUGCCUACGGAAGUCUUCACAACUAUAGAAAAACUUUUGUAUAUGAGUCAUCAUAAACAACAUUUCCACUUUUUCUCAUCGAGUUCCCUCACUUGGAUUAUAUAGGGGAGUAGGAAGCUUUUGGAAACUCUUGGAAUCAUCUAUACUAGUAAGAGACUUAGAGAUGUCCACACAUGUUACCUACUGUUCUCUUAACUUCUAAGUUGUGUGUCUAACUAAAUCUAACUAACAAAAUGCAAGGGGAAGGCUAACUUAGCAACAUCAAACAUGUUUAUCUGUAAGUGUCACAUGUGAGCUUAAGAAAAACUUAAGUUCGUGACACAUGGCUCAUGCACCAAGCCUCAUGCCUAAUAAGCAUCUACUUUUAGAUGAAUGGAAGAGGCUUAUAAAACUCUUAACAUCUCCUUUCAUUUUUUAUGUAGGAUCAAUAUAGUGUGUGAUUUAAAGAAAAUAUCGGCUUUAAAGUUGCAAGAGGAGGAAAGUUCAUAGUAAAAUAGUUGCACUACUCUAUUACUCCUUUGUUUGUAUUAAAAGUUAAUUAGGAUGUGUAUGUUAAUUAGGAUCAACAUUUGUCUUCUUAAUUUAUUGUAAUCUUCAUCAAGUUUUUGAUACAGAAUAAAUUGAGUUUUGUCUCAUAAUCAGCAAAUUGAAUCUGUGCAUGUCUUCUACUAAACAAUCAUUUUUUAUCUCAUUUCCACCACUCACUGAAUCUGCAUCAGAAUCAUAUUCUCCAUCAUCUACCACACAUACAUUUUCUCUCUCAUAUUCUACACAUAUUGAAUCUGUGUCAUCAUCAUGUCCAAAAUCUUAUUCUGUCUCAAUUUCGCAUCAUAUCAUAUUCUGAAGUAGUGUCAUUUCCACCAACUGAUAUUAACCAAUACCAUAAAAUGAAUAUUUAUGAUUAAUACGGUAGAAAACCCUAGUUAAUUUCUUGCCCGGUAUAUUUCUGUGGAUCCCUUUUUUGGUUCUCUUUCUCUCCGGCUUUUACAUGGUUCUCGGUAAGAUUGAGAACCAAAUAUUCAUAAGUAACCUAGUCAUUUUUAGUUAGUAAGCAAUCUUGAUGUAAAUGAGUUUUCAUUUCCAUCCUCUUUAUUAGGGUUCCAAACAUUAUCCCAAAAAAAAAAAAAAUAUCUUAAAUCAUUUUCCUUAUUCUCCUUAUUGCACAUUUUGUCUUAUAAUACUUGACUGUCUAGUUUUAAAGGGCUUGGAAGAUGAUUAGUUUCCAAAUGCUUGCAGAUUCCAGGAACUUAAAGUUACAAUUAAGUGAAACAAGCACUUGAAAGAGGAGAAUGCCUUUCAGAUUCAGAGAACAUAAGCGGGCAUGCAGAAGAAGUGGAAGGGAAGAUGCAGACCAAUAGAGGAAAGAAGGAAAAACAAGCUAAAUAUUCCUGCAGUUGAGCUGCUUAUUGAAACAGAGUAGAACAAAUUAAGGUUGAUAACAUCAUGACUGGGUGCUUGUGGAAUCGUCUUCUGGAUGCCAGAACCUGUUGAAAAACCAUAAGGAAUCAGCUUUCACGGCAUAUCCAUCUUGGUUGCGGUGCCAACUAUACUGAGCAUGGGUUCGGUUCUUGGUGUCAAAAAUGGCAUGUCCAAAACUGGCUUCACGAUAAGCAGAGUACUUCGGCUGUGGCUCUGUCAUGCUGAAUUGUAGAACAUAAUUUAGCUCCAGUAUCGUUUCAAAUAGGAGACAUUUACAACAUAGAAGACAGAAUUAUACAAGAUAUGUGCUAAUCUUACUUGGUUGCCAGGCCUUCGAGAUUUCCCCCAUCUCCAAUGGUGAUGUAUACUGGUGCAGACUGGUCAUUUACAGGAGUGCAAAUGCCAUUUAUGACGUUAUAAGCAAUGUUGGACACACGUUCCUGUGAUAAAUUAAGUUACUAGCAUUAGCUGUCGGGUUGGAAGAGAAGGCAAAAAACAGAGAAUUCUUGAAAUAAUGCUCUUUUUGGUAGUUUUCUUCAGUGAAAUAAUAUUUCAUUUUUUAUAAUUCCAGGGUCAGAAAAACAAUUAUAAACAUUCUAACAAUUUUUGGGCAUUCUUUGAUUUCAUUCAGAAAACAAUUAAAGGCCAAAUAAAAAGCAACGCUUAAGAUCUUAUACCUACAAAAAGGGGUUUCAGGAAAACAGCAAAAACUCCUACUUUGGAGCCUUACAGUGCAGAGGAUAAAGUGAACUUACAGAUCGUUCGUAGGCAUGAACAUGACCAGCAAACACAACAUCAACUUUGUACUGCACAAACCAUGGCUCGUACAUUACUCUCAUGGUUUCCCCUUCCAUAUAAUGAUAGUUGUAACUGUUAUACCAUGGGGAAUGCAUAAGAACAAUUAGCCAUGGUGUCUCACUCCUGUUAACUUUUGGUAGCUCCUUUUCAAGCCACAUAAACUGAGGAGUAUAUUUUCCUGAAAAGCGUAAGACAUAAAAACAUUCAUUUUAAUUACCAAUAUAAGCAUUUGGAGGACAAGCUGAAAUGAACUCGUUCCUUCCUGCAUAUAAUAGUGUUUGAAUUGACUUAGAAUGUAAGCAUUAUCAAAUAAAAGUUCAAGUAACAGGAUAGAGUUGGAUCAUGACUAAAAUGACAAAACAUGAUCCUACAGAGGACGGAAACUAUUCAUGUGAAAUGCAGCACAAGUUCAGAAUUUUACUAAUUCAAUAUAUCAUAGAAAAAUCUAGAGGAUGAUGGAACCAUCCCAGCUGCCAUCUAAAUCCAUCGGAUAUUCCCCCCUACUCCAGGGUUUACUUUCUUUUCACAGUAAGGAAAAGCACAAUUAUCCAAAUCCCCAUCCUCUGAUAUGGAUUACAAAUGCUUCAUACUUUUUAUAUUUGUAUGUGGUAAUUCAUAACUGACAUUCUGCUGCAUAUGGGCACAUAUGUUUAGUGCACCACAGUAUGAGUGUGCUUACCAUAUGCUGAGUAUGAUGAUAAGACAAUGAUAUAUGCUGAAGCCCUCUUGAUAGAGUACCAGAAGGGAGCGGUACUAUCUGAUGCUCUGUAGGGGACAUGAUAUCGAUGACUAUAAGGCUUAAAGGGUAUAAACUCACCCUGCAAAAAACACCAGACUUCCAUUAUAAUUUCACUUUGUAUGGUAAUAUUGGGAGGUCUAGAAAUGGGUUAAGAUCUUUUUCUUUCUCACACUCUUCCUAUGGAAAUCUGAUCAUUCUUAUGAUUAGGAGUUGAUAUAUUGAUCUCACCAGCCAAAAGAAGUAUCAAUAUAGAAUUAUACCUGGAAAAUAUAUCAGAGAAAAGAAUUUUAUCAAAUUUGAAAACUAAGAUUACUGUUCUAUAAGGAAAAUAAAGCCACCGGUUACUGUACUGUAGUAGUAUCUCCUAGCUCCUCAUAAGGGAAGGUCCAGAAUUCUACCUCAUGCGAGGGCCUAGCCUAUGGGCCAAAGCCCCCUUGUACGGCAAAUAAUAGAAGGAAAAAUGGGUUAUCAUGUGCCAAAAACAAACAAGGAAAACGAUAUGAUUGUAGAACCAUAGCAGAAAAGCUAUAGUGCCUUUGGAAGAAUAAAAGGAUUGGUCAAAAGUUGUAAUUGAAAAAUUUUCAGCUAAGCAGAUUGAUGGAACAAAUUACCAUGUCAAAACAUUAUAUCAAUAAAAAAUAAACAUAAAGAUACUACUUUCCAUCAUUGAAAAUAUGUUAGAAAUGCUUACAAUUUCAGGAGCAAAAUCAAUCUCAUGGUUUCCUGCAGUCCAUAUCCAAGGUUGAUAAGCAGUACUUCUCUCAGUGAACCUUCCCCAUGUAUCCCACCUAACGUUAUCAUAGUUCGGGUACCUAUCAGCAUAUGAAAGGUCUCCAACAAACAACACGGUUUUUCCCUUCGCAGGGUUCAAUUCAUAGUGCGUAAGUGUCAUAUUUGAAUCAUAACUCUGCCCAAGAUCCCCUGCAAGCAAUGCUCAGUAGAGUGAAUCGACCCAAAGGAAUCAAAAACCAACGCUAAACAAGCAUUUAUGAAAACAUAUGGACACACUAAAUGCAUAAUGCAUGUGAGCAUCUUCCAGAAUACAUGUGUGCCUUAAUGAUGCACUGGUAAGUUAAACAAAAAAUUUCAUCAAAUCUAAGAUCUAUUUGGAAUCAACUUAUCUAGAUAACUUUUCAGUAAACUAACUUCCAGUAACAAUUCCUAGCAACCCAACCAGCAUCCCCACAAAAUCACUACUACGCUAGGUGAAAAAGCCCGUGGCACUGGAACCUACAGCCUCCCUAAUAGUAAGGAAACGCAAGGUGCCUGAUCCACAACUCCAACAGCUAAACCAAAUCUGAAUAAUUAACUGUUAUUAACCUUCAAACAAUCUCAAUUACACAGGUUUGACAUUGAACGGUUACCUAUAAGACCAAAAGUGUAUGGAACAUCUGGGCCAACUUUAGGAGGAGUUACAAACCAAAACUUGCGUGGAGUGUGUCCAAUCCCGACCACAUAGUAAUACUUGGUGUUGAACUGCAAAUAAAUUAGAAAAGCUUCAAGCUCUGUAUCCAGAAGAAAUCCCAAAACAAAGAAAUGAUGAAUGAAUUGGGUGACAUCCCACCUCCAAAUUCUUGAUAGUGCAAUGAUGAAUGUAACCAGACGUGUAAUUGUAGAAUUUAUAGGUAACCAUGAUUCCCUCAGCUCUGUUCUUGCGCUUGGACUUUUCACUCCAGUAGAGCACUGUGUUUGAGCCUGGUUCAUCCACAGUGACCCAUGAGACAAUCACUCCUCUCCCCUCAUGAUCUCCUUGUGUUAUAUGAACCUUAACACGGACCACCCACAAGUCAAACAAGAACAACAAUAAAAAUUGAGAUCAAACCCACUAAAUCUGCUCCAAAAUAAAACCAAAAUUAUGAAGUAAUUUAAAAUAAAUAAAAAAUAAAACCCCUUUUUUUUUAAAUGGGUUUUGAAAUUCUUAAACCCCACCUAAACGAAAAAGCAUAUGAAUCUAAAUCAAUUAACAAAUCCCAGUGAAAAGCAAAGCAAAUGGAGGAAGAAAAAGCCACACACCUGCUGAGGGGCAUUAUAACCAAGAGGCACACGAAAGACAUCACUGUCAAGAGGCAUAUCAAUGGUUUUUUCAACCUUCCUCACAAAACUACUUGUGAUUCCUCCAUGACACACCACUGCCGCAUUCAACACCAAACCCAAAACAAUAACCACAGUUGCAACUACAGAAGGAGAAGAUAGCCCCAUCACCCCCAUCUUAUCCCACACCUCCACAAACCACUCAACCUACGCUCUCAACCCGAUCUUCUUCAUCCACCUCUCUCACCCAUCCCCAUUUAUAGCAUUUUCUGAGAAAAACCCGGGGAAUGUUCAGAAAUGUAAUGCGGAUAUGCAUCGUGAAGUCAACGGACUGAGGAAGCCUAGGGAAGCCACGUUCAACGAUGAGGAAAACCGAGAAAUUCCCUUUUGGAAAAAAAUAAUAAAAAAAUUCGGAGUUGACUCGGAGGUUGCCAUUUAGUUUAAUUUUUGGUUUGAGAUGAAAAGCUGGAAUUUUUAACAGGGAUAAUUGGAAGAAGAGUGGGAAUACCCAGUUCUAUUUUUGGUUAAAAUACGAUGAAACUACACUUUCCACUGAGAUUCAUGAUCUCAGAAAUUUGAUUACGGUACCGUAAGAAUCAAUAUCCUGUGUUCUUUCCCUUCGUUAUACUAGUGAUGAACUAGAGAUUGAUCAAGAUAUAGAGAUUGUUACAACUAUAUUUCCGGGAAAAAUAUCUAGAGAUUGAAUAAGUAUCGUCCUGCCAACCCUAAUGAAAAGUCCUUUGAUAAGAUAAAAACCUUGUUUGGAAGAGCUUUUAAAUCCAUAAAAGUUGUAUUAUAUAGAUUAGAAGUGUCUUUAUAAGAGUAGUUACAUAAAAUUUUCACAUCCCACUGAAGAUAAGAGAAUUCCUUUUUUAGUAGAAAAAAUGGAAUUUUAUUUAAUUAAUUUUUUUUAAAUAUCACAAUUAUCCAUAUAUUUGAUAUGAAUCAUUUGAGCAUAUUCUAUAAGUUAUAGUUAAAAUUUUAAAAAUAAAUAAAUAAAUAUAUUUAUUUAUGCUAAAACCAAACAAUAUGUGUUGUCACCGCCAAAUUUAAGUGACUAAAAAAUUCACACAUGUUUAAAUGAUUAAACUUUGACAUUAAAAAACAAAUACAACCUAAUAUCAAUGAGAUAUUAACCAAGUGGAUGUUGGAAGAAAGAUCCAAAUUCAAAUAUAUGCCCCCCUACCAACCUACCUUUUGGGUUGUCUAGCUAGCCUAUGAUUCAAAGGCUGAGUUAGGUUUGAGAAUGACUAAUUGGAACAUGCAUUUACGAGGGACAGGAACAUCAGCCCACUUGUUUUGACCACAAGACUCAAAGCAUCAAUCAAGGAUCCUAGAUGUGAACUUGGAAUCAAACUAUUGGGAAUAGAAGAUGGUCUUUUUUAGUGUCCACAUGUUUUGCCUACCUUCAUGUUGAUUUGAACCUUUUGCAGCCUUGUGAUCAAUCCACUUCCAUCUUUGACAUAAAAUGUAAUUCCUUUGUUGCUUUUGAUCUCCAUACUUAUCUUAAAAAAUAAAGCCUGGCGACUUCAACGAUUCGAUGUUUACAUUGACGUGUAUAAAGUUUGAAUAAAUUAUACAAUAAUAUUAUACCAAUUUAAAAAUAUUAGAAUUAAUAGAGAUGGAAAGAAAGCACAAAAAUUAUACAUGACUUAUGGGAUUUCUUUGGCAAUAGAAAUCUAAAAUUUUCAAAACUUAUUUUCAUGUCUAGAAAUUAAAAUAAAGCACGAUGUAGAGAGAAAAUCCUCAUUAGAAGAGGGGGAAAAAAAAAAGAGGGAGAAAAAGGUGUGGAUGAGAGGGAAAGGGGGUGGAGGGACGUGAGAGUGCAGAUGGAAUGAGCUAUAAACAGUUCCGUACGUUUCACAUGGGCAGAUAAGGAGAGGAGUGGUGUCACGCCCCAAGUCCCACUCCAAGGGCGUGACGGUCAUUUCACACCUCAAACUCGAAGGCUUAAAAUAUAAUCUGACCCAAACAAUCAUAUUGUAACUGGAUGUUACCAAUUACCAAAUAUUUGUUCAGAGUAGCGGAACAAAAUCUAAAAUCCUCAAAAUUCAAUUUCCAAAUAACUUCCAAAUAUCAAAUGAUCCAAAUGAACAUAACUAACAGUUAAACAAAAUCCAACAUAAAAUCCUAAGUCAAAUCCUAAUGAUGACCAUUCCUCAGCCUAACCAUCACUCCUCACCCGAACUAAAAGUACCUGAAAAAUUUUCAACAAUUGGGGAUGAGCUCACAGCCCAAUAAGGAAUAUUAAUGCAGUUCAUGGAUCAAAUAUUUUCAUUUCAAAUAGGAGAUAUCAUUUUUUUUUCUCAUCAAAUAUCAGAGUUUCAAAAAUACCAAUAUAUUCAAAAUUCAACCAACCAAUUUCAUAUCAAAUUCAAACACUUUCACAUAAGAUUCAAUCAAAUCCAUUCAAUUUUUCAUUACUCUGGUUAUCAAAUAUCAAAUGCCCAAUUAGGUGGGACUUUUCAAAUGGGUGGCUAGCCUCAGAUUGUUCCUGGUGGACGGAACCAAACACUACUAGUACUAGUAACCUCUAACCAAACCCCUAGAGGCUGGGGUCCAAAUCAAUUACAUUCCCACCAUGAAAUGUAAAGGUCAACUAUUAUAUCCCGUUGAUAGGGCCGAAUAGUCAACUAUUAUUUCCCGUUGACAAAGGCCAAAUAAACCAGAGUGAUGUUCUUGUUCAAGUAUUCAAAUUUACACAACAUAAUAUCUCCAUAUUUUGUGUCAUAAAUAAAACAAAAUAUUUCAACAUAAUAUUUAGUGCAAAACAGUUUGAUCCAUGCAUGGUAACAAAAUAUCAUUUUCUUUUCCACAAUUCAAAAUAACAUAUAAAAUAAUUUAAUUUUAUAAAUAUUGCAUUAACUUCCCUUACCUCAAAAGAAGUCCUUGAAAGCUUGGGAGAAGAAUAAUUCUGAAAAAAAUAUAAUCUACUCUUCACCUAAUAUAACAUAAGAGAAACAAUUAUUACUAUUUAUUUAUAAUUUAACUAAUCUAUUCCUUAUUUAAAUAAACUAAUAAAUUCCUAAUUUAUUUCUAAUAACACAUUACUAAUUUAAUUAAAUUACAAUUUUAUUUCAUUAUAAAAUUCUAUAUAUAUAUAUAUAUAUAUAUAUAUAUAUAUAUAUAUAUAUAUAUAUAUAUAUAUAUAUAUAUAUAUUGCUAAAUCUCUCAUUCUAUUUAUUACAAAAAUACCAUUAUUACUAUUAUCUUAUUUAUUAAUCUAAAACUAAAUAUCAUUAUUUUAUUAAUUAUCUAAUUUGAGGCUAAAUCAUUAUUACAAAAAAAUAUAUUAUUAUAUAUUUUGUUAAAUCUCUUACUUGUCUGGGUACACACCAACAAGUAAAACAAAGCAAAUUUAUUUUUAUUUUUUUUUAUUUUUUUUUCCAUUGCCAUCAUCAUAAUAAUGAAUCAUUAUAUAUAUAUAUAUAUAUAUAUAAUAUAAGUCUCCUUCCAUCCGGGCACACGCCCAAAUAUAUUUUUUUUUAUUUUCCUUCCUUCUAAUGCUGUGAACACGCGUUCUCCCUUUUUUUUUUUUUUUUUUUUUUAACAUUUUCUAAUCCCUUCAACCACAAAUAAUAAUAUAUUUAUUUACUGUUUUUUUUUAUAUAUAAAAUUAACCCUAGCCUAAAAUCGAAACCUUCCAAGGAAUUUUUUUUUUUUUUCAUCUAAUCAAACUUAAGAUCUCCCAAAUUCCAACAAUAAAAUCAAAAUCUUAAUUUUUCACUAUUUGAUAUCAAAACGAAUAAAAAAUAAUCUAACCCUAAUCUAGAUUUGGGGUUUUCCAAAAAAAUAUAUCUAAUGUGUUUGAAAUUAAUCAAUGAAUCUAAAAUAUUAAAUUAGGGGUUAGAAUCUUACCUAUAGAGAUCUGUUCUUCAACCCUGAAAUCUGACUCCAACCUUACGUUCUCUAGAAUUCUGCGAACAGGAACUCUAUUCAGAAAAGAAGGGAAAUAAUAAAAUUUCUAAUUUAUACCUAGGGUAUUUAUUCGUAAAAUUACACUUUUACCCCUCUUCCACUUUAUUAAAUUAAUUAAUUAACUAAUUAAAUUAUUAAUAACAAUUUCCUAAAUUACCCUUAAAAGAAAAUGCCUGGGCGUUACAUCCUCCCCUCCUUAACAAAAGUUUAGUCCUCUAAACUUGACAUACUUGAGUCUUGGAAUAAUUGAGGAUGCUUUUCUCUCAUCUCUUCUUCUAACUCCCAAGUGGCCUCUCGGAUACUAUGAUUGCUCCAUUGGACCUUUACCAACUUGACAACAGCAUGUCGUAGUACCUUAUCCAUCACAUCCACAAUUUGAACGGGUACCUCUUCAUAGGUCAAGUCCUCAAAAAUUUGAAUAGGCUCCAACUCCACAACAUGAGAAGGAUCAUAAAUAUACUUCCUUAGAGUCGAAACAUGAAACACAUUAUGAACCUUAGACAGGCUUGGGGGCAAGGCUACUUUAUAUGCCAAAGUGCCUACUCUUUCUAAUAUUUCAAACGGACCCACAAAACGAGGACUAAGUUUUCCUUUUCUCCCAAAUCUCAUCACAGACUUCAUAGGUGAAACUUUCAAGAACACAUGAUCACCCACCUCAAACUCCAAAUCUCGCCUACGAUGAUCAACAUAACUCUUAUGUCUACUUUGAGCUGCUUUUAAUCUUUCUUUAAUCAAAGCAACUUUUUCAACAGUCAACUGCACAAGUUUAGGGCCCAAAAGUUUCCUUUCUCCAACAUCAUUCCAACAGAUAGGAGAUCGACAUUUCCUACCAUACAAUGCCUCAAAAGGUGCCAUCCCAAUGCUAGCUUGAAAACUAUUGUUAUAGGCAAACUCUACUAAAGGUAAAUGAUCAUCCCAAUUACCUUGCAGGUCCAAAAUACAAGCUCUCAACAAGUCUUCCAAAACCUGAAUUACCCUUUCUGAUUGGCCAUCAGUUUGAGGAUGGAAAGCAGUACUAAAACUCAACUUAGUGUCCAAAGCUUUUUGUAGACUAUGCCAGAAUCUAGAAGUGAAACGAGGAUCUCUGUCAGACACUAUAGAAACUGGUACUCCAUGCAUUCUCACAAUCUCCUUCACAUAAAGAGAAGCUAAACGAUCUAAAGAAAAGUUGACUUUCAUAGGCAAAAAGUGAGCAGACUUUGUCAACCGAUCAACAAUCACCCAAAUAGCAUUAUUAUCUCCUAAGAUUCUGGGCAAUCCUAUCACAAAAUCCAUGGUANNNNNNNNNNNNNNNNNNNNNNNNNNNNNNNNNNNNNNNNNNNNNNNNNNNNNNNNNNNNNNNNNNNNNNNNNNNNNNNNNNNNNNNNNNNNNNNNNNNNNNNNNNNNNNNNNNNNNNNNNNNNNNNNNNNNNNNNNNNNNNNNNNNNNNNNNNNNNNNNNNNNNNNNNNNNNNNNNNNNNNNNNNNNNNNNNNNNNNNNNNNNNNNNNNNNNNNNNNNNNNNNNNNNNNNNNNNNNNNNNNNNNNNNNNNNNNNNNNNNNNNNNNNNNNNNNNNNNNNNNNNNNNNNNNNNNNNNNNNNNNNNNNNNNNNNNNNNNNNNNNNNNNNNNNNNNNNNNNNNNNNNNNNNNNNNNNNNNNNNNNNNNNNNNNNNNNNNNNNNNNNNNNNNNNNNNNNNNNNNNNNNNNNNNNNNNNNNNNNNNNNNNNNNNNNNNNNNNNNNNNNNNNNNNNNNNNNNNNNNNNNNNNNNNNNNNNNNNNNNNNNNNNNNNNNNNNNNNNNNNNNNNNNNNNNNNNNNNNNNNNNNNNNNNNNNNNNNNNNNNNNNNNNNNNNNNNNNNNNNNNNNNNNNNNNNNNNNNNNNNNNNNNNNNNNNNNNNNNNNNNNNNNNNNNNNNNNNNNNNNNNNNNNNNNNNNNNNNNNNNNNNNNNNNNNNNNNNNNNNNNNNNNNNNNNNNNNNNNNNNNNNNNNNNNNNNNNNNNNNNNNNNNNNNNNNNNNNNNNNNNNNNNNNNNNNNNNNNNNNNNNNNNNNNNNNNNNNNNNNNNNNNNNNNNNNNNNNNNNNNNNNNNNNNNNNNNNNNNNNNNNNNNNNNNNNNNNNNNNNNNNNNNNNNNNNNNNNNNNNNNNNNNNNNNNNNNNNNNNNNNNNNNNNNNNNNNNNNNNNNNNNNNNNNNNNNNNNNNNNNNNNNNNNNNNNNNNNNNNNNNNNNNNNNNNNNNNNNNNNNNNNNNNNNNNNNNNNNNNNNNNNNNNNNNNNNNNNNNNNNNNNNNNNNNNNNNNNNNNNNNNNNNNNNNNNNNNNNNNNNNNNNNNNNNNNNNNNNNNNNNNNNNNNNNNNNNNNNNNNNNNNNNNNNNNNNNNNNNNNNNNNNNNNNNNNNNNNNNNNNNNNNNNNNNNNNNNNNNNNNNNNNNNNNNNNNNNNNNNNNNNNNNNNNNNNNNNNNNNNNNNNNNNNNNNNNNNNNNNNNNNNNNNNNNNNNNNNNNNNNNNNNNNNNNNNNNNNNNNNNNNNNNNNNNNNNNNNNNNNNNNNNNNNNNNNNNNNNNNNNNNNNNNNNNNNNNNNNNNNNNNNNNNNNNNNNNNNNNNNNNNNNNNNNNNNNNNNNNNNNNNNNNNNNNNNNNNNNNNNNNNNNNNNNNNNNNNNNNNNNNNNNNNNNNNNNNNNNNNNNNNNNNNNNNNNNNNNNNNNNNNNNNNNNNNNNNNNNNNNNNNNNNNNNNNNNNNNNNNNNNNNNNNNNNNNNNNNNNNNNNNNNNNNNNNNNNNNNNNNNNNNNNNNNNNNNNNNNNNNNNNNNNNNNNNNNNNNNNNNNNNNNNNNNNNNNNNNNNNNNNNNNNNNNNNNNNNNNNNNNNNNNNNNNNNNNNNNNNNNNNNNNNNNNNNNNNNNNNNNNNNNNNNNNNNNNNNNNNNNNNNNNNNNNNNNNNNNNNNNNNNNNNNNNNNNNNNNNNNNNNNNNNNNNNNNNNNNNNNNNNNNNNNNNNNNNNNNNNNNNNNNNNNNNNNNNNNNNNNNNNNNNNNNNNNNNNNNNNNNNNNNNNNNNNNNNNNNNNNNNNAGGAAGGGGAUACUUAUUCCUCACUGUCACCUUAUUCAACUCCCUAUAGUCAAUGCAAAGUCUCAUUGAGCCAUCCUGUAUGGGGCCUUAGACAUAGGACCUGUUCCUGGUACCAGAUCGAUAGUGACUCCACCUCUCUCUCUAGUGGCAAGCCAGGCAAAUCCUCUGGAAAGACAUCAGGAUACUCCCUUACUAUGGGUAUGUCUUCCAACUUCAAAUCACUUUCAUUACUCACCACACUAUCCAAAAAUCCUUGGCAACCCUUCUUAAGCAAGCUACUAGCUCGCAAGGCUAAGAUCAUACGUAGUGGUCUGUCCACAUGCUUCCCUUCAAAGCUAAACUUAGGCUGACCAGGAAUACUAAACGUCACCCUUUUCUCAAAACAGUCAACAAAGGCAUGGUAGGAAGCUAACCAAUCCAUCCCCAAAAUCACAUCAAAAUCCUGAAGGUCAAGGAGUACUAAGUCAACUGGCAUUUCCUUAUAACCAAUCAUCACAAUACAAUUUCUAAGCAUUCUACUGGCCACAACAGAAUCUCCCACAGGAGUAGCAACAAUCAAAUCAAAGUCCAUGCUAGCAAUAGGCAAACCCAACAAACCAGCAAAAGAUACUGAAACAAAAGAGUGUGUUGAUCCAGGAUCAAUCAAGACUCUAGCAAAUAAGGUGUGGAUUCGGAGAGUACCUGUCACCACAUCAGAAGUGGCUUGAGCAUCUCGAUGAGUCAUAGCAAACACCCAUCCUUGGGCUUUGGGUUUAUGUUUAUCCUCCUUAUUUUCCUCUUUAGGCUUCCCAGUGAUGAACUUCCUAUUCUCUGGACAAUCUCUGAUCAAAUGUCCUUGCUUCCCACAACCAAAGCAAGCUCCAGUCUCUCUAUAGCAUGACCUAUCCCCAUGUUUUUUACCACAAGUAGGACAAGCCCCAUCUAAAUUCUGCGCUGCCUUCCCUUUAUUCUGAUUUCUUCCUGAUGUAGACCUUCGCUGUGCUUGAUUACCAUGAGCACCAUCACUCCUAUUUCGCUUUCUUUGCUGUUCCCUAUACUGAUGAAGCUCUUCAUUAUCUUUCUCUGCUAUAAGGGCUUUGUCAACAACCUCUGAAUAGACACCAAGUUUCAGAAUAGAUAUCUUGUUCUUCAAAUAAGGCUUCAAUCCAUCCUAAAACUUUAAUGCCUUUUCCUCCUCUGUAGCAAUCAAUUGUGGGGAAAAACGUGAUAACUCUGUAAAUUUGGCCUCAUACUGAGUCACAGUCAUAUCCCCCUGUUCCAAACGAAUAAACUCUCCCACCUCCUGCUGCCUAACACUGUUAGGGAAAUACUUCUUGUAGAAAGCCUCCCUAAAUUGUCUCCAUGUUAUGGGUCCCUGAUCCUCCAAAAGUCUCCUAGUCAUACGCCACCAAUGAUCUGCCUCUUUAUCUAACAUAAAAGCUGCAUAAGAGGCUUUUUGCUCCUCAGAGCAAUCUUUGACACCAAAGAAUUUCUCCAUCUUAAGGAUCCAAGCCUCUGCCUCUGUGGGAUCUGUAGCACCAGAAAAGUAAGGAGGACCCAAUUUCUUGAAGUCAUCAAAAGAGCUACCCCUAGAAGAUGAAGACUGUCCCUGAACAUUAGUCCCAACAGUUCGAGCUUGGCGUUCAACUAAACCAGCUAGUGUCCCAAGAUACCUAUUGAUCCCUUCUGCACUCACGGGAGGCAAACCCUCAACUGGAGGUACAUCAUCAUUAGCCUGACUGUUUUGUGAAGAAGCUGCUCUUCUUGGUGGCAUGAUGUCCUAAAAUAAUAAGGCAUAACUAAAUUAGUCACUAAAGAACCAAUUAGAAAAUUUUCCAAAUAAAGAAAGAAUCGGAAUUUAUACUAAAUGAAACUAAAACUUAAACAAAUGCGUCACUCAUCUAUCCCCAAUCUAAACCAAUUCAAAUUCCCAUCAAGAUCAAAACCUAAUGCUCUGAUACCACUCUGUCACGCCCCAAGACCCACUCCAAGGGCGUGACGGUCAUUUCACACCUCAAACUCGAAGGCUUAAAAUAUAAUCUGACCCAAACAAUCAUAUUGUAACUGGAUGUUACCAAUUACCAAAUACCUGUUCAGAGUAGCGGAACAAAAUCUAAAAUCCUCAAAAUUCAAUUUCCAAAUAACUUCCAAAUAUCAAAUGAUCCAAAUAAACAUAACUAACAGUUAAACAAAAUCCAACAUAAAAUCCUAAGUCAAAUCCUAAUGAUGACCAUUCCUCAGCCUAACCAUCACUCCUCACCCGAACUAAGAGUACCUGAAAAAUUUUCAACAAUUGGGGAUGAGCUCACAGCCCAAUAAGGAAUAUUAAUGCAGUUCAUGGAUCAAAUAAUUUCAUUUCAAAUAGGAGAUAUCAUUUUUUUUUUCUCAUCAAAUAUCAGAGUUUCAAAAAUACCAAUAUAUUCAAAAUUCAACCAACCAAUUUCAUAUCAAAUUCAAACACUUUCACAUAAGAUUCAAUCAAAUCCAUUCAAUUUUUCAUUACUCUGGUUAUCAAAUAUCAAAUGCCCAGUUAGGUGGGACUUUUCAAAUGGGUGGCUAGCCUCAGAUUGUUCCUGGUGGACGGAACCAAACACUACUAGUACUAGUAACCUCUAACCAAACCCCUAGAGGCUGGGGUCCAAAUCAAUUACAUUCCCACCAUGAAAUGUAAAGGUCAACUAUUAUAUCCCGUUAACAGGGCCGAAUAGUCAACUAUUAUUUCCCUUUGACAAGGGCCAAAUAAACCAGAGUGAUGUUCUUGUUCAAGUAUUCAAAUUUACACAACAUAAUAUCUCCAUAUUUUGUGUCAUAAAUAAAACAAAAUAUUUCAACAUAAUAUUUAGUGCAAAACAGUUUGAUCCAUGCAUGGUAACAAAAUAUCAUUUUCUUUUCCACAAUUCAAAAUAACAUAUAAAAUAAUUUAAUUUUAUAAAUAUUGCAUUAACUUCCCUUACCUCAAAAGAAGUCCUUGAAAGCUUGGGAGAAGAAUAAUUCUGAAAAAAAUAUAAUCUACUCUUCACCUAAUAUAACAUAAGAGAAACAAUUAUUACUAUUUAUUUAUAAUUUAACUAAUCUAUUCCUUAUUUAAAUAAACUAAUAAAUUCCUAAUUUAUUUCUAAUAACACAUUACUAAUUUAAUUAAAUUACAAUUUUAUUUCAUUAUAAAAUUCUAUAUAUAUAUAUAUAUAUAUAUUACUAAAUCUCUCAUUCUAUUUAUUACAAAAAUACCAUUAUUACUAUUAUCUUAUUUAUUAAUCUAAAACUAAAUAUCAUUAUUUUAUUAAUUAUCUAAUUUGAGGCUAAAUCAUUAUUACAAAAAAAUAUAUUAUUAUAUAUUUUGUUAAAUCUCUUACUUGUCUGGGGUACACACCAACAAGUAAAACAAAGCAAAUUUAUUUUUAUUUUUUUUUAUUUUUUUUCCAUUGCCAUCAUCGUAAUAAUAAUGAAUCAUUAUAUAUAUAUAUAUAUAUAUAUAUAUAUAUAUAUAUAUAUAUAAUAUAAGUCUCCUUCCAUCCGGGCACACGCCCAAAUAUUUUUUUUUUAUUUUCCUUCCUUCUAAUGCUGUGCACACGCGUUCUCCCUUUUUUUUUUUUUUUUUUUAACAUUUUCUAAUCCCUUCAACCACAAAUAAUAAUAUAUUUAUUUACUGUUUUUUUUUAUAUAUAAAAUUAACCCUAGCCUAAAAUCGAAACCUUCCAAGGAAUUUUUUUUUUUCAUCUAAUCAAACUUAAGAUCUCCCAAAUUCCAACAAUAAAAUCAAAAUCUUAAUUUUUCACUAUUUGAUAUCAAAACGAAUAAAAAAUAAUCUAACCCUAAUCUAGAUUUGGGGUUUUCCAAAAAAAUAUAUCUAAUGUGUUUGAAAUUAAUCAAUGAAUCUAAAAUAUUAAACUAGGGGUUAGAAUCUUACCUAUAGAGAUCUGUUCUUCAACCCUGAAAUCUGACUCCAACCUUACGUUCUCUAGAAUUCUGCAAACAGGAACUCUAUUCAGAAAAGAAGGGAAAUAAUAAAAUUUCUAAUUUAUACCUAGGGUAUUUAUUCGUAAAAUUACACUUUUACCCCUCUUCCACUUUAUUAAAUUAAUUAAUUAACUAAUUAAAUUAUUAAUAACAAUUUCCUAAAUUACCCUUAAAAUAAAAUGUCUGGGCGUUACAAGUGGUUUGCCACCCUCAGUCUUAUCCUCCGUUUAUCGUCCUGCCAACCCUAAUGAAAAGUCCUUUGAUAAAAUAAAACCUUGUUUGGAAGAGCUUUUCAAUCCAUAAAAGUUGUAAUUUAUAAAUUAGAAGUGUCUUUAUAAGAGUAGUUAGAUAAAAUUUCGGAAAAAUUAUGUUUUGGAUCUAGUUGGGUCCAAAAAUUAAAAUUUGGUCUAUAUAAGUUCACUAUUUAAGCCUAAAACCUAGAGAAAAUGUAAAAAUUGAGAAGAAUGAUAUAAAAUUUUUAUAUUUUCAAAUCUUUAUUGACUAUGAAAAAAAAAAGUAGAAAAACAUUAAUUUAAAUUUUAUUUCUUUUGUAAACCUCAAUAAAAUUUAAUAUAAUUUAGUGAUUUGGAAAAACAAAAAUACAUCAUUUAAAAAAAUAAAUAAAUUAUUAUUAUUUAAAAAACAAACAUCUUGAAAAAUAUGUAUUUUUAAAAUUGUGUAUAUAAAAAUAACUGAAAAUAUAUCAAUUUUUUUUAAAUGAUGUAUUUUUAAAGUAUAUUUUUUUUAUAAAAAUUAUUUUUUAAAAAAUAAUAAAUUUUUAGAAUAAUUAUUAAAAAAAAUUAAGAUAAAAAAGUUUCUAAAACAUUAUGGUAAAAAAUAGUUUUUCAGGGUAUAUUGGUAUCUUCAUAUUUUAUAUCAUUUCCAUCAAUUAUGUAACUUUUAUGAGUUAAAUCUUAAUUUUUAAACCUAAUUGGAUCCAAAAGACAAAUUAUUCCUAAAAUUUUCAUAUCCCAUUCAAAAUAAGAAAAUUCAUUUUUUUUUAAUAGAAGAAAUGGAAUUUUAUUUAAUUAAUUUUUUUAAAUAUCACAAAUUAUUUGAGCGUAUUCUAUAUUUUAUAGUUAAAAUUUUAAAAAUAAAUAACAAAUAUAUUUAUUUAUGGUAAAACCAAACCGUUAGUAUGGAAUUUGGUUAAAACGUGUUACUUUAUUUUAUUUUAUUUUAUAUCAAACAAAUUAUAUAUAAUUAAUUGAUAUAAUAUUAUUUUUCUUUAUAAAGAGAUGGGUGAAACAAAUAAAAUAGUGUGAAAGUUAGAAGAUACGGAAAGGCAAAGUGGUUUGGUCCAUCUCGUUCCACUAGCGGGGAGAUACGAAAAGUGGAAAGGUCCAAAACAAAAAAAUGAAGACUAGAUUUCAAUCAUGCAUGUCUUCUUUCAAUCAUUCAACCUUUUUCCUUGAAAUGCCAACCACUUUCCAAGGAAUGAAAAAGGCAAAUUACAUUGUUUUACCAAAAUUAACUUUUAUUUUUUAAAAUAAAAAUAAUUAUAAUUUCUAUCCCAUACUGGUUCCCUGAAUUAGGUCGGUUUGAUCAUUAAUAUCAAGUCUAAUUCAAAUUAAAAAAUCAACUCAUUGCAGUGGGUCGAUGUUUAAUAUAAGUCCAAUUUAAUUCAAUAUCAAUUUCGAGGUAUCCAAUCUAAGAGCAACUCAAUUUUAUUUUUUUAAACUUGGUUGAAUUUUGGUUAAUUAGAUUUGACUCAAAUUGUAUGAUUCAAAAUUCUCUUAUAAUAUUUUUUAAAAUAUAUUUAUAUCAAAAUUUAAAUAAUAAAUAAGUUAAUACUUUAGGAUAAUAAAAAAAAGUAAAAAUAAAUUUAUGUAACUUUCUAAUAUAUUGAAAAAAAAUAUAAUUAUAAUUUAAUAUUGAAAAAAAAAAUAAGUAUUUUUUUAAAUUGUUAAAUGGUAGUUUUUUCUUUCAUUCUUUCAUUCGUUCAUGUACAGAGUAUAUAUAGAGGGUAAUCACCAUUCUAAGAAUGGGAAAUAAUGAUACAAGAAAAGAAUGAUAUAAAGAAAUAACAACUAAUAUCCUAAUAUCUCAAUAUUCUUAAUAUCUCAACUUUCCCAAUAUCUAAACAUUCCUAAUAUCUCAACACUCUCCCUCAAGUUGGUGCAUAGAUAUCACACAUGCCCAACUUGUCUAAAAAUUUUGAGAACACUUGACUUGAGACAGCUUUGGUGAGGAUAUCGGCCAAUUGAUCUUCUAAUCGAAUCUUAGGCAAUUCCAAAAUCUUAUCAUCCAACUUUUCCUUAAUGAAGAAUCUAUCCACCUCGACAUGUUUUGUACGAUCAUGUUGUACUGGAUUAUGAGCAAUGUCACAUGCGACUUUAUUGUCAUAAAACAAUCGGAUUGGUUGCCUAAAUAGGUAACUUAAAUCCUGUAAGAGGAGUCUUAACCAUAAUGCCUCACAAAGUCCUAGAUUUGAUUCGUGCCCAAUUGGUGUCUCAGUUGAUUCGUGUCCAGCUGGUGCUCCUUGAUUGAGAGAGUAAUCAACAAAAUUUAUAACCUAUUACACCAUGAACUAGGGUAGCAAAGACAAAGCUACUAUAGCAUAGUGGCUCUAGGAUCGUUCACUAGGAUGGGUUUUCACUUCACAAUUGAUAUUAAUUCAAAGAUGAAUUGGUGCCUUUUCAUUUCAAGGUUAGCUUUAAAAGAAAACAUAAACUUGAGUUGGAAAAGGUUUGGUUUUAAACUAACCACAAAUAGUAACUGAUUUUACUUACAAAGAAAAGUGUUUCUUGGAGUUCAAAUCACUAGGCUCAGGUUCCUCAUACAAAAAGAGAGUUCCGGUCACUUGUUUCUUUUCCUCGCAUUAGAGAAUUAACAUAUAGUUAAUUCUCUAACCGGUGUUGUACAGAUGCUUCCCAUUAAUGGGUUCAAAUAGUAAAUCCCUCUCACUGAUGCACCUUGCAAUGGCUCAUACCUCUCACCUAGCACUUGCCAUUCAAGGUGAUCUUUAACCUUGGAUUACCCGUCAAAAGCUCGCAAGAGAUAACUAAUGGAUGUCUCCUUGGAGUCCAAAAGCUUACCAAGUGUUGGCUAUUCUAGAAAAUCCUACCUUCAAACCACCUCCCAAAGGCUCGCAAGAGAUAAACUAGUGAAUCUCCAUGGAUGGAGAUCACUUGCCUUACCAAGUGUUGGCCUAGGUGAUUUAAAGGCGUUUUAAGUUAACUAAAAAGAUAAAAAUCAUUAACGAGUCACACUUUCUUUUCAUUAAAAACUAAAACAACAAAACUUCCAAAUUAUGCAUGUGGAAACUUACACGGCUUUCCUCACUCCAAGAGACGAAAAGCCUAGCCUCUCAUCCUCUGAGGAAAAAUCCUCAAAGUUUGUUUGGCUAGCAAGAAAACGAAAAUGAAAGAGAAGGAAAAACACAGAGCAAGGCUCUGUAUAUUCUAUAUAUUUAUAUAUCUAUAUAUAUCGUCAGAUUACAUGAUGCCCUGAGAACAAGCUCCCGAGAGCUAUAUAUAAAGAAAAUUACAAAACAAAAUAUCUGUGGUUAUUCACCCCUUUUCCAAACUUAAUAACUAAGGAAUCCUAUAAUUGGUGGGUUACAAGGAGAAAAUGGGGAUUUAGACAUAAAAAAUCUGAAGCAAAAUAUCCAAAAGUGUCGAUCGCAACUAUCGGGAAGCUUCAAGAGAACACCCGUGCACUGUGCAAAAUGGCUGCGAAAUUCUCGCAGCAAAAGGCUGAUUUCGCAGCUGUGCAAAAAUCUUCCUUCAGCUUGGAGUGAUCUGCUUGCAAUGGCUGUAACUCCUUCGUUUCAACUCCGAAUUGUACACCGUUUAAAGCAUUGGAUUCUUGACUUCUUGAGCUUUGAAAUGGUAUAUAGCAUGUAGAAAAUGGACUUCGGGAAUUGCUCCAAAAGUGCAAAAGAAGACUACAGCUGCCGUCCUCUAUUUUCUUCACUCUAUUUUUCCUCUCUCCGUUAUUCUUUCCUUGCAUACUUUGAACGACUUUGGCAAAGGGCUAUGGAGCUCCAAAGCUUGGUUCUUCAUGAAUUUGAGCUUUCCAUUGCUUUUCCAUGGAUUCCAAAGAACUCUCCUCAAUCUUGGAUUGCUUUGGUGAUCAAAAAGCUAUCAAAACACCAAAACUUAACACAAUUUGAUUAGAAUUGAUUGCAAGGGUCCUUAACAUGCCAAUUGAGUUAAAAGGUAAUAACUACUACUCAAAAGUGUUUAAAAGAGUUAAUUACAAGCUAUCAAAUAACACUUUUUGAGUAGUAAUCACUCCCCCCAAUCGACAUAUUGCUAGUCCCUUAGCAAUGAAGGAGAGAAAAAUAAAAAUAAACAUUACUAUAAUUUACAACAUCAUGCUGAUCAAAAAACAAUUCUCAAGUGGCAUGAUGAUCUAACUCUCACAUAGAACAUUAAAGAAAUAAAACUCAAACUUCAACAAAAGUUAUCAAAUAACUUGUCUAAUCACAAUUCUUAAAGAGAAGACAUUAUGCAAAUUUAAGCUUUAAAAGAGUUUCCACUCCCAAAGGGUCAAACCUUACUCUUCCACAAAAAUCUAAGUGUUAUUUAUUAGCUUCCGAAUAUAGUAUGUUAAACUAAUCUCUCCCCCAACCUAGUUUUUUUUCAAAGCUUAACAAACUAGUCAACCUCCAAUAGGCUAAGAACGCACCUCUUUUUUCACAAUUUUUUCAUUGUAGGAGUACAAGGCUUAAAGGUAUUUUUUUCUAAAUUGUCCAUGUAACAAGGGUCCAUCGAUGACUCCCAACCAAUUAAGGUUUAGGGCAUUAAGCUUUAAGGAUCUUUCAACCACUAGCUCCUCGGAUUUUACCCCGGACUUUUGAGAAUGAAUUUUAAUACCCAAGCACCUACAGUAUGUUAAACUCCACCUAUCCACCCUUGUAACGAGCAUUGAGGUCGGUGACUCCCAACCAAUUAAAGCUUAGGGCACCAGGUUUUAAAGAUUUUCACCAUAUACCCCUCAGACCUUGCUCGGGUUUCAAGGCAAGCAAACAUUUUUUCUUUCUUUCUUUUUUUUCUUCAAAGACUCAUUGGCCUUUUAUAAGGUGUCCCAACACUAUUAAAUAAGGUCAAAGGUACCAAGUCUAAAAUUUUCCUAAGUCAAGAGGAAAAUAGUUUUUCAUCUUAUACUCGGAACCUAUUGUGCACAGUGUGUGAAUAGCUUAAAGUGGAAGACAUAAGCUUGAAUUCAAUAGAAAUUUCAACAAUUCAUCAACUUUAAUAAACAUAAUACAAACUCUAAGUCAAGUAAAAAGACAAAAAUUCAAUUUCUCCCAUUUCAUUUUUGAGAAUUUUUCCUUAAUAACCAUGGAGAGUAGAGAAAAAAACUUUAAAAAUUUAAAAAUUAAGCGAAAAGCAACUAAAUUACCAAAAUAACUUAGCAUUAUUAACAAUACUUACUUCCUCAACUCUCCCCCCAACCAAGCUGAACAUUGUCCUCAAUGUGACAAAAGCGAUUGAAAAACAGAGAGGAAGUGGUACCUCCUGAGUGACAUGGAGUCUGAGUCGUAUAGGAGAAACCACAUGUUUCAAAGAAAACAUAAGAGUUAGUGAGUAGAGGAAAUAGAAAAAUGCCAAGUUUAAACAAAAAUGAUGUCUAUAUAUGAUGCAUCAUCAGUAAUACAUCCAGUCCCAGAAUAUAAGACAUCAAAACAUGGAAUUAUCUAUACUAAUAUAAUAUGUAAAGACAAAAAGUAAAGAGAUGAUCAAGUAAUGGUAAGGUCCUGUGGAGCUGAUGCAUCUGUGGUGUCCUCUUGAAUGGGUUGGAUCAGGACUUUGGCCUCUGUUCUGGUAGUCUCCUUAGAUGACAUAGUCUCUUCAACUGGAGCUCUCAGCUGGAGUGGGUUUUGAUGGUUUAAGGAGGUCAGUAAUGGAGUGAGAGGCUUAGUGUGUGUGAUCCCAGGGUGCGCGGGACUCUCCUCUUCAGAUGCAUGGUCGCGGGGCUCUGUUGGCAUUUUAGCAACUUCCCUUAGCUUUGUAAGGUGUUUUUGCAAACCUUCCUCCAUUUCGCAAGUCAAUUUCGCAAUUUGAAGGUCAUUUCUAAGCUUGGAGAUCAUUUUGCAGGCAAUGGGCAAUUUCGCAGCCCAUUUCACAGCUUGGAGAUGAUUUCGCAGCCAUUUCAAAGCUUGGAGAUCAUUUCGUUGCAAAGUGGCAUUUUCACAGACCAUUUCUGAAGCUUGGAGCAUUUUCGCAGCGGGGGGUGGAUUUCGCAGAGGAAGGGAAUUCUCGCAGCCCAUUUCGCAGCUUAAAAGUGAUUUCGCAGCUCAAAGGUGAUUUCGCAACCGUAUCGCAGCUUCGAAAUAAGGGGAACUGUGCUGCAAAAUGGCACUCGUGUGCCAAAAGUGGUUUCGCAGCUGCGAAACACCCUUCCAAAUGGCGUCUCGGCGGCGAAAUUCUCGCUCAACUUUGCACACUCGUCUUUAAAUGGCCAUAACUUCUUCAUUUCACCUCCAAAUCGUGUACCGUUUGAAGCGCUAGACUCCUGACUUCCCAAUAUUUGAAACGAGAUAUGGUAUGCCUAAUUUGAGCUCCAGGAAGUGCUUCAAAAAUGUGUCCAACAGUAGCGAAAUGGAGGUGCGACAUUUCCGCUCAUGGUUUGCACAGUCAUCUUCAAAUGGCCAUAACUUUUCCGUUUCAAAUCCAAAUCGAGCACCGUUUAAAGCUAUGGACUCCUGACUUCCCAAGAUUUGAAACGAGAUAUUGUAUGCAUAAUUUGAACUUUGGGAAGUGAUCGAAUUGUGUCCAACAGUUUCCGAAAUGGGUGUACGGCUAUGACAUGUCUGUUCAUGGUGUGCGCGCUGAAGGAUUUUGAGGUGUGGAGGUUUCACAGCCAUUUCACAGCUGCAAAAUGAGUGUACGGGGCUUCCAAAUGGUACUCGUGUGCCAAAAAAUGGUUUCGCAGCUUUUAAAUACCCUGCGAAAUGGAGUUUUGGUUGCAAAAAAAAAAAAAAAAUUUUUUUUUUUUUUUGGAUUUCGCAGCUGCGAAAUGAGGUUCACUGUGCUGCGAAAUGGCACUCGUGUGCCAAAAGUUGGUUUCACAGCUGCGAAACACUCUUCAAAAUGGAGCUUUGGCUACGAAAUGGGGAUUUUUCACGCUUUGGAGCUUCGCAGCCGUUUCGCAGCUGCGAAAUGGGGGCUCCUGUGCUGCGAUGUGGCACUCGUGUGCCAAACUUGGUUUCGCAGAGAGGGGCCUGAGGCUGCGAACUGGUUUUGCAGCAAAGUGCUGAUUUCGCAGAGGCUACGAAAUCUCGCAGACCCCUGUUUUUGCCCUAUUUUUGCCCUAUUUUUGCUUCAUUUUUGCUCCGUUUUUGCUCCAAACAACUUUCCUUCAUUUUUUUUGCAAUUCCUCUUGAUUUUGAUCAUCCAAAAACCUAUAUUACAUCAAAACAAAUUAGAAUUAAAGCAUUGAAAUCAAAAUUAAAACAUUGAAAUCAAAAUUAAAGCAUUGAAAUCAAAAUUAAAACAAGUAAAAAAAACAAAACAAAAAGAUAUGGACUAGCUAGUCUUUAAAAAGACUAAGUCCAUCAAAAAAUUUGAUCCUGAUUUAGCUUGCCCAGAUCCCAUAUGAAGCUUGCAUCCCUCACUUGAGACGUGAUCUGUAUGAUUUUGUCAUACAUAGCUUGGAGAAAAGGUGGAGGCAUGUGUUUCUUCAUCAAUUCUUCCUUGAUGACUAUCCUUUGUGGUUCUCUUUGUUCAUUAACAUCAUAGCCAUCAUUCUCUAUGUUUUUCCCCUUUUUCUUUCCUUUGAUUUCCUCCCUCUUUUCUUUCUCUGUUUCACUCUCUACCUUAUGCUCUAGCUUGCAUGUGGGCAGAUCAACCUCUUUACCACUCCUCAGAGUGAUCACUUCUUUGACUUCCCUCUUUUGUGAAGGUUCUCCCUCCUUAGCCUCCAUUUCAUGGAUACUCAUGGAAUUUUGAUAAGGUUGAGAAGGAGAGUUUUCUUUCUCUUGCACUGUGUUGAGGUUGGCAAACCUUGAGAUUAAAUCUUAGAGAUUAUCUAUCUUCUGAGAUAGAUCAUUUUGCACUUCAUCCAUCAUUUUAAUCAAUGAACUCUCUACACUAUCAAUUCUUUGACUGAGCUGAGCAUUGAUGGAUUUCUGAGCUCCAACAAAGUCCCCCACGAACUUGCUAAGAUUCACCAUAGCUUGUUCAAGGCUUGAGGCUUGCAGAAGUGCUUAAACAUGUUGCUUGUACUGAGACGGCUGUGGUUUCCAAGAGAAAUUUGGAUGGUCCCUCCAAUUGGAAUUGUAGGUGUUGCAAUCACCAAACAUUUCCCUCUCGGCUGGAAUGGUAGGACACUCAUCCACCAAGUGCUCAUAUGAUCGACAAAUGGAACAAGGCAUAGGUAGCAAUGGUGUUUGAGAGAUGGCUUGCACUUCUUGCAUAUUCUUCAUUUCUAGCUCUUCCAAUCUCCUUGCCAUAGCUGCAAUCUUUGCCUUCAUGUCUAUGUCGUCAUUCAAAAUAUACAUCUCACCCUUAGCAUUAGGUUGAGACGUCAUUCUUCCCAUAUUUCUAGCAUUUGGUUCAUCCCAUCCUCUUGAGACUUCAGCCACAUAACUCAUGAAGUUCAUGGCUUCCUCUGCUAUGGUAUUCAAUAUGGCAUGCACAACUAGCAAUUUGUGAAUUAAAAACAGAGAACACAAAAGAAAACAAAAGAAAAACAAUUCAAAGAAAGAAAAUUAAGGUAAACUAAAAACUAAAUAAAAGAUAUACUAAAAUAUGAACAAUAAAGAAAUAAAAAGAGUUAGUUAAAGGAAAAGAAAAGUCAUCAAACUUGUGAUGAAGAUCACAAGUACUCUGAAAAUGUGAUAUCACUAUAAAGUAGCACCAUUUCCCGGCAGCGGCGCCAUUUGAUUCGUGCCUAAUUGAUGUCUCAGCUGAUUCGUGUCCAGCUGGUGCUCCUUGAUUGAGAGAGUAAUCAACAAAAUUUAUAACCUAUUACACCAUGAACUAGGGUAGCAAAGACAAAGCUACUAUAGCAUAGUGGCUCUAGGAUCGUUCACUAGGAUGGGUUUUCACUUCACAAUUGAUAUUAAUUCAAAGAUGAAUUGGUGCCUUUUCAUUUCAAGGUUAGCUUUAAAAGAAAACAUAAACUUGAGUUGGAAAAGGUUUGGUUUUAAACUAACCACAAAUAAUAACUGAUUUUACUUACAAAGAAAAGUGUUUCUUGGAGUUCAGAUCACUAGGCUCAGGUUCCUCAUACAAAAAGGGAGUUCCGGUCACUUGUUUCUUUUCCUCGCAUUAGAGAAUUAACAUAUAGUUAAUUCUCUAACCGGUAUUGUACAGAUGCUUCCCAUUAAUGGGUUCAAACAUUAAAUCUCUCUCACUGAUGCACCUUGCAAUGGCUCAUACCUCUCACCUAGCACUUGCCAUUCAAGGUGAUCUUUAACCUUGGAUUACCCGUCAAAAGCUCGCAAGAGAUAACUAAUGGAUGUCUCCUUGGAGUCCAAAAGCUUACCAAGUGUUGGCUAUUCUAGAAAAUCCUACCUUCAAACCACCUCUCAAAGGCUCGCAAGAGAUAAACUAGUGAAUUUCCAUGGAUGGAGAUCACUUGCCUUACCAAGUGUUGGCCCAGGUGAUUUAAAGGCGUUUUAAGUUAACUAAAAAGAUAAAAACCAUUAACGGGUCACACUUUCUUUUCAUUAAAAACUAAAACAACAAAACUUCCAAAUUAUGCAUGUGGAAACUUACCCGGCUUUCCUUACUCCAAGAGACGAAAAGCCUAGCCUCUCAUCCUCUGAGGAAAAAUCCUCAAAGUUUGUUUGGCUAGCAAGAAAACGAAAAUGAAAGAGAAGGAAAAACACAGAGCAAGGCUCUAUAUAUUCUAUAUAUUUAUAUAUCUAUAUAUAUCGUCAGAUUACAUGAUGCCCAGAGAACAAGCUCCCGAGAGCUAUAUAUAAAGAAAAUUACAAAACAAAAUAUCUGAGGUUAUUCACCCCUUUUCCAAACUUAAUAACUAAGGAAUCCUAUAAUUGGUGGGUUACAAGGAGAAAAUGGGGAUUUAGACAUAAAAAAUCUGAAGCAAAAUAUCCAAAAGUGUCGGUCGCAACUAUCGGGAAGCUUCAGGAGAACACCCGUGCACUGUGCAAAAUGGCUGCGAAAUUCUCGCAGCAAAAGGCUGAUUUCGCAGCUGUGUAAAAAUCUUCCUUCAACUUGGAGUGAUCUGCUUUCAAUGGCUGUAACUCCUUCGUUUCAACUCCGAAUCGUGCACCGUUUAAAGCAUUGGAUUCUUGACUUCUGGAGCUUUGAAAUGGUAUAUAGCAUGUAGAAAAUGGACUUCGAGAAGUGCUCCAAAAGUUCAAAAGAAGACUGCAGCUUCCGUCCUCUGUUUUCUUCACUCUGUUUUUCCUCUCUCCGUUGUUCUUUCCUUGCAUACUUUGAACGACUUUGGCAAAGGGCUAUGGAGCUCCAAAGCUUGGUUCUUCAUGAAUUUGAGCUUUCCAUUGCUUUGCCAUGGAUUCCAAAGAACUCUCCUCAAUCUUGGAUUGCUUUGGUGAUCAAAAAGCUAUCAAAACACCAAAACUUAACACAAUUUGAUUAGAAUUGAUUGCAAGGGUCCUUAACAUGCUCUGGGGGAUUGCUUCAACCCAUAAAAUGACUUCUUCAAUUUGCACAUCUUCUGACAUUACUUUGCUGACACCAUGCAUCCUGUUGGAAGAUCCAUAUAUACUUCUUCAGAUAACUCGCCAUGCAGAAAGGCAUUUUUCAAAUCGAACUGUUGUAAUGGUCAAUCCAGGUUUGCAGCUAAAGACAGUAAUACUCAAACUGUGUUGAUCUUAGCUACAGGUGCAAAUGUCUCUGUGUAGUCAAUUCCAUAAGUUUGAGUGUACCCUUUUGCUACCAGUCUUGCUUUAAAUCAUUUAAUACUACCAUCUGUCUUAUACUUCACAGUAUAGAUCCAAUGACACCCAACUGGCUUCUUUCCUGGUGGACAUUCUACGAGUUCCCAUGUUUCAUUCUUCUACAAUGAUAUCAUCUCUUCAUUCAUGGCUGCUUUCCACCUUGGAUCAGCUAAGGCUUCCUGCACACUGUUAGAAAUAGCUACAGUAGAUAAUUGAUUUUAAAAUGACUUAUUUGAUUCAGAAAAACGAUGGUUAGACACAUAGUUGCUCAUGAGAUAUUUGACUUUGGUAGACAAUUCAGGUUCAUAUGUGGGUUUAGGAAUACCUCUAUUAUGACGGUGUGGUAACCGUUUCAUGAAUGGAUCAAGUUCGAAAUUAAGAACACCAUCAGCAGACGACGAUUGGUUUGGAAUUUCAAUGAAGGCAUCUUCGGACCCAAAUUAUUCAGAUGGUUCAAUUGUAUUGUCUCUCCCAUCUUCUAUCAAUUCUUCAGCUUUUGGGUGGUCAUUACUACUUGGUUCUAGAGUUGUAUCACUCAUAUCUAAUUCACCCGCUUCUUGGUUCACUAGUUCAGAUUGUCCAGAUUCAUCCUCCUUAAGGAUAGGAUAAUUAUAAUCGAGAGUCUGAAUUUCCUUAUGGUACUCCCCCGAAGUUCAGACUUAAAUGAAAAAUACAUUGAAUCUUCAUGAAACACCACAUCCAUUGUAAUAAACAUUCGUCAAGUUGGAGGAUGGUAACAUCGAUAUCCCUUUUUGUGCAAUGCAUAUCCAACAAACACACAUUGCAAUGCACGAGAAGUUAACUUGGUGUGUUGGUGUUUGUGUAGAUGCACAAAUGCCACACAACCAAAAAUACGAGAAUGUAGAUUUGUGACGGUUGGGGCAAUUACCACAUUAGUAAGAGCUUGGAGAGGUGUUUGAAAGUCAAUUGAGCUGGAAGGUACCCGAUUGAUCAAGUAUGCGGCAGAUGUGAUUGCUUCUCCCUAAUAAGAUAUCGAUAUUUUUGCUGCUAUCAAGGAAGCAUGAACAACCUCUAACAAGUGCCGAUUUUUCCAUUCAGCGACUCCAUUUUGUUGGAAGUGUAUUGGAACAAGUAGUCUGAUGAAUGAUGUCAUGUCCGUCCAAAUACUUUUAAAGAUCAUAACUCUAAUAUUCUCCACCAUUAUCGCUACGCAGAACCCGAACCUUUGCAUUGUAUUGAGUUUCAAUCAUUUUAUGAAAAUUUUGAAACAACAAGUUCACUUCAUCUUUGGUCUUCAUCAAGCAUAACUAGGUCAUUCUGGUACAAUCAUCAAUAAAAGUAACAAACCAACGUGAGCCACUCAAAGUUGGGACUUUGGAUGAGCCCCAAACGUCAGAAUGUAUAACCAUAAAAGGAAGCGGACUUUUAUUCAAAAUUAACGGAAACGAAGCACGAUGGGAAACCAGAAAUAUCACUCUUUGCAAACAAACUAGAAAACAAUUUUUUAAAAUAACCAAAGGAAGCAUGUCCCAGACGUCGAUGCCACAACCAAAUUUUAGACUUUUUAUUCUCCCCUCAAAUCCAUCUGUCAUCAAGGCUUGUUGCAACUUAUUUGAAUCCUUUGACUGCAAGUCCAAGUAAUAGAGUUUUCCCCGCUUAAUACCACAACCAAUCGUUUGUCUUGUUUGGAUGUCUUUAAUAACACAAAAUUCAAGCAAAAAAAUGACAAUACAAGAUAAGGCUGCAGUGAUUUGAGAAACUAACAAAAGAUUGUAAUCUAAAGAUGGAACAACUAAAAUAGAAUCCAAAUUCAAAGUAUCAGUAAGAGUUAAGGAUCCUUCCCCAAUGACUGGGGUUGUGUUACCAUUAGCUGUGGAAACAACUUUUUGUGAGGAAGGUCUAAGGGGUGAAACCUGUCUAGAAUCAAAAGUCAUAUGAUCUGUAGCAUCAGAAUCAAUUAUCCAUGCACUAUUAAUAACAGGUGUAGAAGUAUUAAAAAACUUACCACCAUAAUCUGUAGCGGCUACCAAUGCAGAGGCUUUCUCAACAACAUUAGCCUCUGUUUUUAUUUUGACAACAGUUGUAGUCGAGGUUUUCUUGGAAUCCUUCUUCCGUUGAUCACGAUUAUUAUCAUUAAUAACAAAGUGUUGAUAGCUUAAACAUGAUCUAAAGAUCCAUGGUUCAAACUCUUGGUUCCUCAUUGUUUUCCUGGUCAUACCAAGAGUCGUUGCUUUGAAAUUGUGGGAUAUUCAAACUGGUGAGAUCAAUCUUAUUGCAGUGAGUGCAUUUGAAGGUUGACUUAUCAAUAUUAGGGCUUGUCUUAGGAUGGUUGAUUGUUGUCGAACUACUAUAGCGACAAAAUAUCCAGGAUUUCAGUUCUCUGGCUCUGAUACCAUCUUCAAAUUGAUAAAUGGUAGUUUUUCCAUUCAUUCUUUCAUUCGUUCAUGUACAGAGUAUAUAUAGAGGGUAAUCACCAUUAUAAGAAUGAGAAAUAAUGAUACAAGGAAAGAAUGAUAUAAAGAAAUAACAACUAAUAUUCUAAUAUCUCAACUUUCCUAAUAUCUCAAUAUUCCUAAUAUCUCAACUUUCCUAAUAUCUAAACAUUCCUAAUAUCUCAACACUGAAUAACAUAAGGAAAGAAUGAUAUAAGGAAAACAUUCCUAAUAUCUCAACAAUAUUAUUAUACAUGAUGAUAUAAAUUAUAAAUAAUAUUAAAAAAAAAUACUAAAUUGGGUUCAUGUCCUCCCAACCUCUGUCCAAGCCCAAUCCUAAUUAAGUUUAGAUUGAAAAUUUAUCCCUAGCAACCCAACCAGCAUCUCCACAACCCACCCCCACAAAAUCACUACUACGCUAGGUGAAAAAGCCCGUGGCAGUAGAACCUACAGCCUCCCUAAUAGUAAGGAAACGCAAGGUACCCUGAUCCACAACUCCAACAACUAAAUCAAAUCUGAAUAAUUAACUGUUAUUAACCUUCAAACAAUCUCAAUUACACAGGUUUGAUAUUGAAC
RNAcentral lists this long non-coding RNA (57267 nucleotides) under Vitis vinifera (wine grape). RNAcentral describes it as "long non-coding RNA (VVIN_LNC000592)". The record is from RNAcentral. Lineage: Eukaryota; Viridiplantae; Streptophyta; Magnoliopsida; Vitales; Vitaceae.